This 88927-nucleotide long non-coding RNA is filed under the name Lactuca sativa (garden lettuce). Its description in RNAcentral is "long non-coding RNA (LSAT_LNC003076)". Lineage: Eukaryota; Viridiplantae; Streptophyta; Magnoliopsida; Asterales; Asteraceae. The record is from RNAcentral.
UUUAAUUAGUCUUAGUCUUAAAUUAAUUAUGAAUUAAUUUAGAGAUUAAAAGGAAGACUAAUUAGAUUAUGGGCUAUUGGUUUUAUAUGGUGUGGGCUAACACUCAUUUGUUAAUGGGCUAGGCUUGGAUGGAAGUCCAUGGAUGAUCCAUGGAGCUUUUAACCCAUGGAUCCUUGGAAAAGGAAAGGUCAUGGGUUAUUAGGGUUUCACCCUAACCAUGUACACUAUAUAAGCAUGCUUAUGGUGCAUGAAAUGGCAACUAGUGAACUAGUGUGUGUGCUUGUGUGUGGCCGAAAAUUGCAAGUGUGUAUACUCUCUCAAAGUUUUCCAAGUGUUUGUGGUGAUUUGUGAUUCCAUUUGAGGCAUUCACACUAUUGGUGCUUGGCCCUCAAACUCCUCAAGAAUCAAACUCAUCAAAAAGGUAUGUAAUCUCUUCUAACUCUUUUAUGUUGAAAUGUUCCCCAUGCCAUGUUAGAUAGGUUAUGAACCUUGGAAAAUUAUUAUUUUGCAUGUAUGUAGACAAACAUAGAUCCAAGGUUUAUUAGGGUUGCAUGCACACUUAGGAAGUGUUAGAUUGCUCAAAACCCAACAGUUAUAAGCAUCUAUAAGCAUUAUAAUUACUACUAGAAAGAGUUACUCACGUUUUGGUAUAAAAACUCGAAGAUCCGUGCGAGAGUAAAUGGCUUUUCUCUAGAUGGAAAUGUGAAUAAUGAAUGAAUUUGGUUCAAAAAUCUAUUUAUAGUCCUGAAAUAGUUUUGGCAGAAAAUAUUUUUAUUCCUGAAAUGAUCUCUAAUAUAAUAGAGUGUUGGAAUAAUAGUGCUGCACAAAACCCUAGUGCACCCACUCUCCUGAUAUUUCCUGAUGUGUAAACCUUGAAUUACUCAAACUUAUGUGAAAAAGUCUGAAAAUUAAUAGUGACACUAUAACUUCUAUUGAAGUGAUAUAGAUUGUACAGAAUGGAAAUUUCGGGUUAUCACAGUUAACCUCAUGUGUCUUUAGCUGUCUCGAGGCAUAGGCUAUGACUUUACCUCGCUGCAUCAGAACACAUCCGAGCCCUUGGUUUGAUGCGUCACAAUAGACCACGAAGUCUUCUAUCCCUUCGGAGAGGGACAAUAUUGGUGCGGUGCACAAGGCUCGCUUGAGCGUUUGGAACGCUCUUUCUUGUUUCUCUUCCCAGUCAAAGCCACGCCCUUCUGGGUAAGUGUUGUAAGAGGUUUUGCUAUGCGGGAGAAGUUCUGAAUGAACCUGCGAUAGUACCCAGCUAGACCUAGAAAUUGACGAAUUUCAGUAGGUGUCUUUGGUGCUGACCAGUUCUCGAUGGACUUAAUUUUGGAAGGGUUCAUGUGUAUACCUUCUUCGCUAACAACAUGGCCCAAGAAUUCGACUCGCCGAAUCCAAAAUGCGCACUUGGAGAAUUUCGCGUAGAGCUUCUCCGACCGCAAUGUUUCAAAGAUUUUACGGAGAUGUUGGCUAUGUUCUUCUUUACUUUGAGAGUAGAUGAGUAUGUCAUCAAUGAAGACGUUGACGAACUGAUCCAAGUAAGGACGACACACCCUAUUCAUCAGAUCCAUGAAUAUUGUGGGCGCGUUAGUUAAUCCGAACGACAUCACAACAAACUCGUAGUGCCCAUAACGAGCUCGGAAGGCUGUCUUGGGAACAUCCUCCUCUAACACUCGUAGUUGGUGAUAUCCGGAUAGCAGAUCUAUCUUCGAGAAGUAGUUGGAUCCUUGAUGUGGAUCAAACAAAUCGUCAAUACGGGGCAAGGGAUAACGAUUUCUAAUGGUAAGUUUGUUGAGUUCUCUAUAGUCGAUGCACAUGCGAAACGAUCCAUCCUUCUUCUUGACGAACAAGACCGGUGCUCCCCAUGGUGAGAAGCUUGGUCGAAUGAAUCCCUUCUUGAGAAGUUCGUUUAGUUGACUGCAAAGUUCCAGCAUUUCGGCCGAUGCCAGACGAUACGGAGAUUUGGCUACGGGGGUAGCGCCUGGCACUAAGUCGAUUCUGAACUCGACUUGGCGUUGCGGUGGUAAACCGGGAAGUUCUUCUGGCAAUAUGUCAGGGAAGUCGCGUACUUCUGGGAUGUUCUAAAUGUCUUCCAGUUCUUGACUGGUAUCGACAACGUGUGCAAGGAAUGCAUGGUACUCCUUCCGCAAGCACUUCUAGGCUUGAAUGCACGAAAUGAUGCGAAGGCUCGUACUAGGUUUAUCGCCGUAGAUAACUAAGGUUUCGUUGUUAGGAAGGUUAAGACGAACUGCUUUUUCGAAGCACAUAAUGUCGGCGCGAAGAAGACUCAACCAAUCCAUUCCGAUGAGAACGUCGAAACAUUUAAUUGGGACUGGCAUGAGAUCUAUCUUGAAAGUAUGGCUAUCUAAUGUUAAGGUACAACCUACGUAUAUGCAGUUUGUACUCUCUGUUUUCCCGUUAGCCAUUUCUACCGUGAAUGAAUUAUCUAAUGCACAUGGUUUUGUUUAAGCAGGUGUGCAAAUUUGUGACUUACGAAACUUCUUUCUGCUCUACUGUCAAAAAGUAUGCAAGCAUAUGAGUUAUUGAGGAGAAACGUACCAGUAACUAUCGUAGGAUCAGCUACCGCUUCCUCGUGCCCUAUGGCCAUAACUCUUCCUACUCCCCCAGCUAUCCUUGCUUUAGGGCAGUUCCUUUUGUAGUGGCCCACCUUGCCACAACCGUAGCAUGUUUGGCUCAUACCGGCGUUUGGAACCUGGGUGGCCUGACCUGUUGGAGUCUUGCAGUAACGGGCUGUAUGCCCCUUCCUGUUGCCGUUAGAGCACUGCAUCUCCUUGCAAGGUCCGUGGUGGUGGAAGCUAUGCUUGCUGCACUUCGGAAGAGUUCCAGCAUAGGUCUUAGCUGGUAAGGGGUUCGUAGGGACAACGGAAGUCACUGUGGUAGCAUUGAUUGCCACAAGUUGUUGUCUUUUGGAGGAUCCUUGCGAAGCCCCCCUUUUCCUCUUGGACCACCCUUUCUUGUUGUUGUCGGGGUUGGACUUUUGUGGUACGGGUAUAGGGAUUGAUGGGUUUUGAGGUAUCCUGUGGUCUAUGAGAGAUUGUGCUAGCUCUUUGGCGCUAUCGAAAUUAAUUGGCCUGGAAGCUAUCACACUUGACUGGAUUUGGGGCGACAGUCCCCAUAUAUAUCUUUCUAUAUUUUUGCUCUGGAGAACAACCACGUCAGGGCAUAAGUUUGCCAGAUCACAGAACCUAUUUGUGUAGGUCGUGAUGUCGGUUCCAACCAUAUGUAGACCCCAGAAUUCCUGCUCGAGCUUUUGUACUUCGCCUCGAGGACAAUACUCUUUCAUCAGCAUGUCCUUUAACUUUUCCCAGCUGAUGGAAUACGCCACCACCAAAGUUAGAUAGUUAACAUGGGUGUUCCACCAUGUUAGUGCUCUGUCAGAGAAGGUACAAGCUGCAAAAUUGACCUUGUUGCCUUCCUGGCAAGCACAGAUUUCAAAGACUGAUUCCAUGUUUUCAAUCCAUUGUCUCAACACCAUAACACCCCCAAUUCCAUUGAAGCUGCGGGGUUUGGCGUUCGUGAAGUCCUUGUAGGUGCAUUCCCGAGGGUGUCCGUGGCUUUCGCCGUGGUUUGAGGGAGGUGCAUUUGUUCCUGAUCCACUAGGGGCAGGAGCGUUGAUUGCUGACACAGCAGCUGCAACUGCUGCUGUGAAAGCUGCCUGGAACAUGAUGGCAUCGAAAGGAUUUGGUGGUUGAAGAGGUUCAGGUGGUAGUGGAGGGGGGGGUAUCGGUGUUUCGUUGUUUGGGUUACGCCUUGGAUUCCUGCGUGGCGGCAUCUUUAACUAUACAUUUAAAAGAUGACGACAUGGAUAAGAAUAAAUUACUAAUGAAUGUGUCUCAUGGACUAACUCCCCAUAGCCCAACAAUAGAAUGAAUAGAAUGACUAAAUGAAGAAGAUAGCAUUUGGAUAAUAAUUUCCAUAAGAUUAGAUAUAUGUCAAUAAUACUGGAAGUACAGAUGUAACAAGUUCGGGAAAAAUGGCCUAAGAAUAGGCCUUACAUCAACCAAGAUGGAAAAUUUUGACAGAAUCAAGACUAGAUCAAGACCUAACAGGUCUAAGAUUUAUACAGAUAGGAAAUUAGACCAAAGUUUUACAUAAAGUAGGUUAUAUCCAAAAGAUAAGUUUAUGAGAUUGUAUCGGCGACAAGAGCUGCUAGCAUGAGCCCUCAAUCCCGACAGUAGACGUUCAAUGUCCCUUAUACGCCUGUCCGACCUUGCUUGCUGAGCUCGAAGUUCCCUAACUUCAGUUUGAGUUUCGGCAAGUUCUCUCUACAAAUUUGCAUUGCCGACCAGAGUCCUUUCAUGAGCAGACUCUAGUUGGCGAAUGUGGACAGUGUUAACACUGGAGUUGGCAUCAACUUCCAAGACUUGAUUGAUAGUCGCCUGAUCCAAUAACGUGUUCUGAGAAAUCCUACGCACCAUGAUCGGUAGGACUCUAUCAGCAGAACCUCCUUCGGUGAGGUUGUAGAUACCUCGGUCUCCACUGUAGGGAAUGGGCUGACCUUGUUCCUGGCUCCAUCUAGCCAAGUUAGUGGCCCACAGAGGCGUGGGUCCUUGAAACGUAGGACGGGGGUUCAGGUUUGGGUUUUGAGCAGCUGGGGGUAGGUUGUUGACUUCAGGCUCUGAGUCAGAACUAUCGGAAAAACCCUCAGCAUGGUGAUCAUCCAAAGGGAUUGGGUGAUCAUCUUCUGGUUCUGCCUCUAGCCAACCAGCAUUGCCUUGGUUUGGGAAGUACGGAUCGCCAUGGUGAAAUCCAGCCAUUUUAAUCUACGCAAGAAAAGGGAUAUAAGAAAUAGCUAAAAUAGAUGAAUUGACUAAGAUAAAUACAGUAAGACCAAAUACCCCUAUGGUAUUUCUUUAUGGUUGUGCUGGUAAGUUUUUAGACUUGUUGCCAUAUCACAACCAUUCUUAGGCAUAUGCUAAUCACUCCUCGGACUAGUGUAGUUGAUCAGGCUAUGCCAUUCCCAAGACUGACCAUAUAUCCCCAGACUUACUUGUGAUAUUCAACAAUCGUAAUACUUUUGUUCUUGUCAUUGUGACACUGAUUUUAGUAUGAAUGCAGGCACAUAUACUUUGUUAAAUAUUUUAUUAUUUAAAAUUAUAACUCUUAGACAGAGUGUUUUAAUCCCGAUGUAUUUAUAGUUAGUAUAUCUUUUAUGGGUUGAUAUACUUUAUUCACUAUAAACAAUGCUCUGAUACCAAUCUGUCACACCCCAAAACCACGAACGGCGGAAACGUUCAGGGGUGGAGGACGUCAUGUACAGUAUCACAACAGUGUAAUAUAAUAAACAAGCAACAACAUCAUCCAUUGCAUUAUAAGUAAAGUUUUAAUACAUGUGUGUUCUUUCAUUGUAAUAAGACACCAAAAAUAUACAAUCAAAAUAAAAGACGAGACUUGUCUGCUCCGUCUUCUCAAAACCUGGCCAUCGUACAUGUCUACUGUUGACCUGAGAAUACAAGUUAUUUUGAAAGAGAGUAUCAGCUUUAAAGCUGGUGAACUCAUAAGUAAUUAAGUGUCAUUGUCUUGCUUAUGAAAAUCUGUUAUGAAGGCCAUGUAAACCUUUAAAUGAAAAUGUUGAUGUAAGUAUGAAAACCCUAGAAAAUCCCUUAUUUUCUAUCAGUUUGAGAUGUAGUCUUCUACCAAGACCUGAAUUUUUUGUUAUGACAAUGUAGUCUUCUACCAAGACCCAAAUGUUUUGUUAUGGCAAUGUAGUCUUCUACCAAGACCCGAAUGUUUUGUAAGUAAAAGGAUAGUGUUUCCUUUAAUUGUUUAGUACUAAAGUACUUAGUGUAACUCAUCGUUUAUGUGAAAGUAUCACAAAAUAAAGUAAACAGGAAAAAGUACUAAUGUAAGUGUUAUCCCGAGGUACCAGGGCUAACACGCCAUAUAUAACAUAAUUAACAUCCGUAGAUUGUCCAAUUGUCCUCUGUAGCAGCAGUAGGGCGGAGGAAGGGUUAGUCCUUGUAAAGGUACUCCUAGUACAAGUAAUAACCUAAUGAUCAUCCGAAGAUUUUCAUCUCAUCCUCUGUUGCAACAGCAGGAUGGAGGAAUGGUUAGUUCCAAUAUCGAUCUAUCUAUGAUAAGUGAUAACCGUUGACAUCCGUAGAUGUUCAUCACCCACUGUUGCUAACAGCUGGGUUCCGGAAUGGUUAGUCCCAUCCAUAUAUCAUGAUGUACUGGGGAUAGAGUCCCGACUAGAUAUCCCGAGGUACUAGGGAUAUGUAGGAAGAUUUACACAGAAGGUACUAAUAAAUCAUCCUCGCAAUUCGAGAUAUAAGUAUUAAUGUUAAUAUACACAGGUAAAUGUAUCUACGUAAAGGAACUUAUGUAAUGUGUUCAUGUAAGCGUGAUCAUGUAUCAUGUAAGUAUAUGUAAACGUACUCAGGUAUCAUGUAAUCAACUGUAAAUGCACUCAUGUAUCAGGUAAUGUACUGGUAUAGACUCAUGAAUGAACUGACUCUUGUGUGAUUCCUUGUAAUAGGAAUUAUGUUUGAUAUCUUCAAAUUAUCCCUAUGAUAAUUAACUGAGAGGUAAUUGGUUGAUCAUGUAGGUUUAUACACUCUUACUAGUCAAGGGUGUGAGAAACUGAAUGAAAUGUGUAAACUAUAACAUCAACACAUAUAUAAGAAUAUAAGUGUAUAUGCAUAGUUUAGUUCAAGAAUGUAAAAUGGUUUUGUAAGACAUCUUAUAGGUUUUGAACAAUAAUUAACAAUGACUUGAUGUCAUUUUAAUUAAAAUUUCAAAGGUAAAACAUUUGAUAACAAUGUAUUUUUCAGAUUUAAAACCAUUUCAUGCAUCACAUUUUGUAGUAUGUGAAAUCUGUUAAAUGACAAACACAGUUAUAAAAUACAUAUCAAUGAUUUAAUAACAUGUUUGUUUCUACUUGUAUCCCCCCCUUAAAGCAGUUAAAAUCAUUUAAAACAUUGAUUAGGGGUAUGAACUCACCUGUAGAUGGUGAUUCGGAUGAACCGGACGGUAUAGGAUUGCUAGGUGUUAAACAAGGACUUGCACACAUACUACGAUCCUAAUGAACAUAUAAUCACACAUAUAUGCACUCAAUUAGUCUCAAAUCACUAAUUGAUAAUGUUAAGACAUCCUAGACAUAAUAAACACUUUAUAUAAGUGUUUUAAGCCCUAAGGAUUGCAUCUAAGCUAUUGUGGGACAAGGCACUUGUGUUUAGGGUUCCAAAGGACCCCAUAUAUGAGUUUACUCCCCAUAUACCAUCACACAUGGAGUUUACGGUUGUAAACUCUUGAGUUUACGGCCGUAAANCACAGCCGUAAACUCCCAACCAUGGGGGUAUUCUGUGUUUUGAAGUCCCAAAUGAUUCCUAGAAUUAUUCUAACUUGGUGGUUCAAUUCUUGAAAGGGUUUAAGGCCUAGAAAAACUCCCUAAUAGCUUUUGGAUCUAGUUUGUCUAAUGAACAUGCAAUUGAAUAUCCAAAGCUAUAUACUCUAGAUCUAGCAUACAAUUAAUCAUUUUAACAUAAGAAUAGGGUUUAGAUCUUACCUUGAUUGUUAUGUAGCAAUAACAAUCUCAAAUCCUCCUUGUAAUGGCUCUAGAAAGCUUAGAGUCACAAGUUUCACUCCUCUAAUGGCUCACAAACACCAAGAGCAAGAGGAUGAAGAAUGAUAAGAGAGGAGGCACCCAAAAACGUGCAGAAACCCUUAGGAAUUAGUUGGCCACAUUUUUGGUGCCCUAGGGAUCCUUAAAUAGUGAGGCUAUUAGGGUUAUCUAACAAGGAAACCCUAAUUUGAUUGCUUAGGCCCUAAGCAACCCAUGGACUACCUCCUUAGAGGCCUUGGACGAUUUCUAAUAGGUUUCCCCAUAGAAUUCGUCCACUCCAUCCUUUAUGGAAUCCAUUAGCCCAAUAUUCAACUGUCACACAAUUAACAGUUCUAGUCCCCUUUAUUUAAUUAAUAUCUUUUAGGCACAAAAUAAAUUCUUAUUAAUUAUUGACUAAUAUUAAUUAAACCAUAUGAUUUCUCCAUUAAUAUAUUUUUCUUAUAAUAUAUUAAUAAAUCAUAAUUACUCCUCUCUCUCCAUAAUUCAUCCUAUCAAGUUGCUUUGGUGAAGGCAACCCAAAAUGACCAUGCACAAUCGGGUCAAGUAAAUACCAAAAUAGUUAUGGACUUAGACACUAAUCCUACAGAAGAUACAUACCCGUCACCACAUCCGGUGUUGCAUGAUCCUGCUCAACUAUCAGUUGAAACAUCCUGCUCCUCACCACAGUCACAUCCUCCUUUCCCUGGUAGCCAUCAGUGAUCCUCAUCAUCGAUGGAACGGGUGAUACCACUAAUCCAUCUACUUCCAUACUCAUAUAAUGGGCCUUCUUGUGGACCCUGAUUGCAAACCCUGCUAAUAUGGCCCAUCUAGCUCCACUUGAAGCAUCCAUAACCACCCACCCUUCACUCCCCAUCGUGCCUCUUUCUGCACUUGCCACAACGGCUCCGGCCCUGAUGGAAUCAAAUACCUUGGGUCUCUUGCCCAAACCCCCUGAAACCUGAGUCUGAUCUGACAUCCUCUUCUUCUCCAUCUCAAGAUCAAUCUCCCUCUCCCUGACUCUCACAAUCAUAUCCUCCAAUGUCUUGCACCCAGAUCGGUUCACAAAAUACUGAAUAUCACUCCAUAGAAUCUCAUGGUACAUCUCCUUCUUUAUAUACUAGUCUGCCACAUACUACGGAACCAAUAGUUUCCUCUCACAGAACAUCAUGUUGAUCUCAGACAUCGUCUCAGUAAUUUGGCAAAGGUCCUGGAACUCCCCCGCUAGCUGUUGGGCCUCAAUCGCUAGUGCGAACUCAACUCGAAAUCUAGUCACAAAAUCAUCCCAUGUCAUUAAAUCAACAACCUCAUCACCAACAGAGUUCCCAUCCUCCUCCCAGCAGUGUCAACCUUUGUCUUUCUGAAGAUAGAAAGUAAUCAUGAACUUUGCCCCAUCGGGGCAAGUGCUAGUGCAGAAGGAGUUAGCGACAUCCGCUAACCAAUGCCUGCUCACACUUAGGUCCUUCUUACUAAACUAAUAUGGAGCCCCACAUGCCCGAAACUCCCUGAAAGUAAGUAUGUAAGCUUAUUCAAGAUCUCCAGAAUGCCCUGCUUGACCGUACCAAAUAUCAUAGUAGUCUACUUAAGUAUGCUGCGGGCAAUCUCUGACAAAAUGAACUCCUAUGUUGUAUCAUCCAACUGCCCGACACUAGAACCCAAGCCUAAACACUGACCAACACCAGAACCACCAGCCGAUUUGCCUUGAAGAGUUACCAUACUUAAAAUAGACCAUAUAAAUCAUCAAAAUACGCAUCGAUCUAUAUCAAUGACUCUUAUACUCUACAAGUUUCCUGGUUUCAUCGCAGUUCUCCUUGACUCGAGUGCGAAUCCUCUGUUUUCUAUAGUACGGACCCAUACUGCCUUCCACAUACAUCCAUACUUUCCUCAAGGAUCGCCUUGAGUCCUCCAAUUCGCUCGUUAUCCGCACGAAUAAUCCUCCUCAAAACAAGGCUCACAAUACUAAAGCUCCUCCUAGGUUUUUCUAUGGAAAUCACCAUACCACUCCCUAUCAUCAGCUGCAGAAGGAACUCCAGCUGUCACCAUCUAACUAGCUCACAAAUACAAUUACAUGUCACUGACGCUAGAUAAUUCUUCGAAUGAAAGGUCUAACACUACAAUGGUUGGACUCGAACAAGAGUUGUAGGAUAGAGUAAAAACUUAACCAUAUAAAAUUAUUUAGUUUCCGUAAUUUGUAACUUAGAAUAUUCACUUACUAGUAAGUUGAAGUUAGUGAGAAUUCCUAAAAACUCAAAAAGCAAGCAACAUUCGAGCAUUGGGAAAUCGGAAUCAAGCCUAACAUAAUCAAGCCAUCCUAUCACUUGCUGAUCAGUACUAGCAUGAAAGUCUACAAGCUCAUACAGUAGGCAUAUAAAGGUAUCUCUCCUAGCAUUUUAUCAUGCAAAUCCUGAGCAGAUCCUUGGCCCUAACUAGCAUGCGAUUCAUAGAUUCAUAAAUCAAAGCAUAUCCUAAAACAUGUAUGGGUAUUUUGAGAAAACUUACUUGAGUUCGUUCGAUUGCAUGCACCACACCCUUUUCUAUUAUUAGAAACCCUUUUAUAAAACAUUUCUUUUUUAAAAAAUUUCUACCAAAUCCUUAGUUUGAGUUCAGAUACACACGGGAGUAUGUCCGAAUCCCUCAAACUAAGGCUUUGACACCAACUUGUAACUUCUCAAAAAUUAAGACCAAAACUUUUCAUUUUUAAAUUAAUAAAACCAUUAUCCAAAACAUAUUCAUAAAACCAUGGUGGAAUAAAGUGUAUCAAAUACAUCAUAAAAUAUCAGAGUAAUCAUAAAAUGUAGAGCGAGGUGGUGUGUGCACUUCCAUCAUCUCGGGCUCUUCCCCUUCGAACCAGAAGUACCAGAAAACAAGAACUGAAAACCAUAAGUACAAAGCUUAGUGAGUUCCCCAAAAUACCACAUACCAUACAUAAUAAACACACAAAGGGCCCCGCCCAUCAUCGGGCCCCACCUGACGUCGAGGCCCGCUCAGUAUACAUAUCUGAUAUCAUCAAGCCCCACCCGGUAUACAUAUAAACAUAUAAACACAUAACACAUGCAAUAAUCACAAAGAGGCAUAGGAUACAAAAUGAUCAUCGGGCCCCGCUCAGUAAUCUUACCAGAACAUAACACAUGCAAGAGUCACGCAGACAUCUAGCAUCCUGAACAUACCAAUCAUGGGCUAGGAUUGGUGCCUUCGACUCGCCAAACACAUUGAGGAAACUCACCUCUAGCUGUUGAAAUACGCAAAAGAAUCUCUGCAUGCUGGUGAGGAAAAUCCCCGUGCUAUCAUCUUCAAAAUAAUAUCCAAUUAUUAAUUGGAUCUCAACCCAACCAAGAAUCUAAGCUACUUAGCCCAUAACCAGGGUAAAAGACCAUUUUACCGUUUUUUUUAAUUGGCCCAACUCCAAGGCCCAACCCAACAACUCAAAAGGCCCAAAACCUAAAUGACAACCCAAGGCCCAAUUAUUUACCAAUAUUCCAAAUUGGGCCCAAAACCCAUCAUGGGCCUAAAUACGAGGAAGCCCAAAUACUAGCCAAAAGCCCCAAAUCAGAAGUCCAAUGGACCAACAAGGACGAAACUUAGAAAGCGCAACUAUGGCCUAAACCAAAAAGGCCAAGCCUAAAAUGCCCACUAAUGAGUACGCGGGGCGCACUCAGCUAGUGCGCCCAUCAUACUUCCAUUACCACUUUUCCUAUUCAUUAAGCACUUAAUCGGUUAAGACCUUUUUCUAUAUGCUCAAAUCUGGUUCCUAAGGGUGACUUAUCACGUAAAGUUGGCAACUUUACACACAUGUGUGGCUUAAUGGGACCAAAUACUCAAAAAGAAGCUUAAAAGACAUCUUAAUACAUGCAUGGACCAAUAUCCUUCAUAAAGUUUGCAUUUUUAUGAACAAGGGGUCUAAAUGGAGCUAAGAUUUCGCAUCCAGGUCUUCUGGAUUAGAUCAAAAGGUCAUCUUUAACUCCAUUAGACUAAAAAACGCAUAAAAGCCACCACAAACUAGAUCUAACACAUAAGGCCAUCAAGGUGAGAGAUUCAUACCUUAGAUGGCUUGAAAUGAUGAUAAUGAAAUUGGAUCUACAAGGCCAAGUUACUCCCAAACAACCACCAAGAGUUCUUCUUCUUCUUCUUCUUCUUUUCUUCUUCUUUCAUAAAAACACCAACAAAAUCUCACUAAUAUGCUCACAAUCUCACAAGAGGCACCUAAGGUUCGAUGUCAGGGCACAAGAUGAUGGAGGUUGGUCAAACAUGUCUAAGAGGUGUUAUAAUGAGGUUUCAAUUGGGUGCAAACACUAAAAUUUAGGUUUUUCCCAAAGCAUGUCUACGUCCAACGUAAUCCCACAUACGCCCAACAUACGUGGGUGAUGCCUGUGACCAGCAAUAGCUAGUACACUAAGCGUAUUCAUGGAGUGCGCCCCAUAUACUAGCCAAGGACCAAAAUGAAGGGGAUUUUGCAUAAAAGGGAAAAAGGAAACUUACCAAAAACUUGAGUGUUACAUGUGAUGGGUUUUGAGCAUUCUAACACUUCCUAAGUGUACAUGCAACCCUAAUAACCUUGGAUCUAUGUUUGUCUAAUUAUCAUGGAAAGUUGAUUUCCAAGGCUAUGAUCAUAUCUAGCAUACAUGGGGAACAAUUUUAACUUGACUAAAAGAUAGAACUACAUACCUUUUUGUUGAUUUUGAUCCUUGAAACCUUGUGAGCCUAGCACCCCAAGUGUGAUGCCUCAAAUGCUUCACACAACACCAAAUGCUACGGAGUAAACUUGGAGAGAAAGUAUAACACUCUAAAAAUCGACUCUAGCCCUCAAGUAUGCAUGCAUGUGUAGCCGAUUUUGGGAGAAACAUGAGCUUUAUAUAGUGUUGACACAUUUAGGGCUACACCAUGUAAACCCUAAUGUGUCAUGACUAUUCAUUUCCAUGACCCAUGGGUUUGUAACUCCCAUGGAGCAUCCAUGGAGCAUCCUAUGGGUAGAACCCAACUUGAUAAUCCAUGGAGCCUCUUAGCCCACUAUACAAGAUAUGGAUGAUUUACAUAAUCAACCCAUAUAUUUAAUUAGUUAUCUUUUGAUCACUUAAUUAAUUCUAAAUUAAUUCUUGAUCAAACUAAUUAAAUAAUAUUAUUAAUAUAUUAGAACUUAUAAUAUAUUAAUAAACCACAAGUGUUAUUUCUCUCAUUUAGUCUAUCCAAUUGCAUGGUGCCAUGCAACCCAAAUGGACCAUGCCGGGUCGGGUCAAGUACAUACCAGAAAUAGUUAUGGACUUAGACACCUUAUCCAACAGUCUCCCACUUGGAUAAGUCUAAUAACUAUAACUGCAAGUAUGACUUCAGGAACCGAUCGGCAAUCGUAGCUCUUUUCAAGGUUUCUCGGAACUGAGAAGAUGAUGGUACGCCAUUUCAGAUAAGGGAUCAUAUAAUCCUCUGUUCUAGAUAUCAGCCGGACAAAUACAUGGAACAUUGUCUUGCUUAUUGUCCAGCAGUUUGUUUCCCGAUUUCCGAUUUGUUUGACAAAGAACUUAAUUGAACACAUCAACUUAGUUCUGACCGGGCCCGGUACAUAGGUCAAAACAAAAUCAUCGAGGGGCCCAGAUAUCAGCUUCUAAUCCAAGAAGGAACAGAUAAACUUCGACUCAUAUGCUUGUUCUACUACUUGUUAAAUUACACACAAACGCACGUUUUAUAACAUCGAGUUACCAAUGCGGUUUCGCACGUUCAAUGCAUAACUAACUCAUAGUUAACAAGUCAUAUCUCUAGGUUUGAAGACUUAUAUGAUAUUACCGUCUCGCGAUCACUCGAGAUAAAUUCCAUGAAGUGAUACCAGCAAGCGUGGGUUGAAUCCAAUACUCAGAACUUAUGAGCACUCAUGAGUGUUGAGGCCAUGUCCAACAUUUUAGACCUCUACAACCAACUCAUGACAGUCUUACUUCAUAUCUACUUCCAACAUAUGACUGACUGUGGAUAAUUUGAAUAAUAUGUAAAACAACAUAAAUAUUCUGGAAGUCAAAACAUGCAAAAGAAAUAAUAGUAAACGAUUGACAGGAGAUAGCAACACUUUACUCAUAAAUAAACACAACUUUUAUUCAUCAUCAAAUGUCAAUUAUAUUUUACAAAUUUCAAAAUCAUCUAACUACUAAGAUUAAUAUGAUCCUUCAGCCCUAUGCUCCUAGCAUGCUGGAGAUGCUUAACCCUACCCAGUCCCUUCGUGAUGGGAUCUGCCGGCUUCUCAUCCGAUGAUACCCUCUUUGCCACGAGAAGUCCUUCUUCUAUACGAUGUCUUAUGAAAUGAUAUUUUCUGUCAAUGUGUCUGGAUCUCCCAUGAUUUCUUGGUUCCUUGGCCAAGGCGACAACACUUUCACUAUCACAGAAAAUCUCUCUAGGCUUCGAUAUAGCUGGUACAACUCCAAGGUCUCCGAUGAAGUUCUUUAGCCACAUAGCCUCUUUUGCCGCCUCGCUUGCCGCUAUGUACUCUGAUUCGCAAGUUGAAUCAGCCACUGUCUCCUACUUGAACUUUUCCAAGAGAUUGCUCCUCCAUUUAAGGUAAAGACCCAGCCUGACUGAGAGCAGAAAUUAUCCCUAUCAGUCUGGAAGCUAGCAUCAUUGUACCCUACGACUCUCAAGUCAUCAUUCCCACCGAGCGUAAGAACCAGUCGUUAGUCCUCCGCAGGUACUUGAGAAUGUUCUUUACCGCUGUCCAGUGAGCCUUACUAGGAUUCCCUGAUACCUGCUAACCAUGCUUAAAGCAAAGGCUACAUCAGGACGAGUACAGGUCAUAGCAUAGAUGAUCGAGCCUACUGCUGAAGCAUAAGGUACCCGACUCAUUUCUGAUAUCUCAUCCUCACUACUCGGGCUCUGAGUCUUACUCAGUCUAGUGUUACUCUGGAUGGGUAACUCUCCUUUCUUGGAAUCUUGUAUGCUGAAUCUCUUCAUCACCUUAUCCAAGUAUGUGCUCUGACAAAGUCCAAUUAGUCUUUUACUCCGGUUUCUCAAAAUCCUUAUUCCUACAGUAUAGGCAGCUUCUCCUAGGUCCUUCAUAGCAAAACACUUCCCAAGCUAGGACUUAACUUCCUGCAGAGUUGGGAUGUAAUUUCCUAUGAGUAGUAUGUCAUCCACAUACAGUACCAAAAAGCUAACUAUACUCCCACUAGCCUUGACAUAUACACAAGAUUCAUCUUCACUCCUAGAGAAGCCAAACUCUUUGACUUUCUCAUCAAAGCAAAGAUUCAAUCGGCGUGGUGCUUGCUUUAAUCCAUAGAUGGAUUUCUCAAGCUUACACACUCUAUUAGGGUACUCUUGAUGGGUUUUAGCCAUAAGAACUUUCCUAUGUGCGCAUGCAAAACCCUAAUGCUUGGAACUAGGCUUUCUAAUUAAACAUGCUUUGAGUCCAAGACUUCUAAUGGCUAAUUAGGUUAAAUAACAACAUUGAAACAGAUCUAGAACCAUACCUUUAAAUUCCUUGUUGAUCUUGUAGUCUUGGAGCUUCUAGAGUCACAAAUGUCACUCCUCUAAUGGCUUACAAACACCAAUAGCAGGGAAGAUGAUUUAGGAGAGAGGAGAUGGGAGGAAAUCGGCCAGGGUUCUCUUACUUUAGGUGAGGUACCGAUUUCCCUUGCCCAUAGGGUCUAUUUAUACUUGUAGAUUCCUUAAGGGUUACAACCUAAACCCUGAUUGGAUAAUCUUCUCUUAAGGCUAUCCAAAUCCUUUCCUUAGAUAACUCAUUGGACGAUUUUGAAGCUAUCCUAGCUUCUAGAAUCCGUCCCCUAUAUAUCUAUAAGGAUUUAUAGUCUUAAGCUUAACUAUCAAACAAUUGACAGUUUAUACCCCUUUAUUUAAUUAACCUCUUUAAGUCACCAAAUUAAUUCUAAUUAAUUCUAUGACUUAUAUUAAUCAAAUAACAAAAUAUUAUUCAUUAUAUUAUUCUCAUAAUAUAUUAAUAAUAUUUACUCUCUCUUAAUAAAUCAUCCUAUCAAGUUGCUAUGGUGAAGGCAACCCAAAAGGACCAUGCACAACCGGGUCAAAUACUUGCCUAAUAUAGUUGCAGCCUUAGACACUAUUCCAACAGUCUCCCACUUGGAUAAGUCUAGUAACUAUAUGCACAAGUACAAUUCGGUUUGCAAUCGUAGCUCUCAAAGACGCUGUCAAACUCUGAUCUAAUCAAUCUUGUCCUUUAGAUAAGGGAUCGUACAGUCCUCUGUUAGAUAUCAUGCUGACAAUCCUAUGGAAUGGUUAGUCAAGCAUUUAGGUUUCUCGAUCUCUGAUUUAUUUGACAUAGAACUUAAUCGAACACAUCAAUUCAGUUCUGACCGGGCCCGGCACAUAAGUCAAAUCAAAUCAUCGAGCGGCCGAGAUAUCGCUUUUACCUUCUUAGAUAAAAGUUACAGAUAAACUUCGACUUAUAUGCAUUUACUUAUUCAUUAACCAACUAUACACAACAAUGCGUUUUAUAACACCGAGUUACUGAUGCGUUUUCGCAUUAUCAAUGUACAAUCAAUUAACAAAUAACAAACCAUAUAUCUAGGUUUUAAGACUAUAUGAUAUUAUCGUCUUGCGAUCACCCUUUUAUAUCAUAUUCCAUAAGGUGAUUCCAGCAAGCGCGGGUUUGUUCCAAUGCUCAAAACUAGUUCAUAAGCACUCAUGAACGUUGCAGCAACCCUUUGCUAUGUCUAACACCAUUUAGACAAUCUACACACCAAUUCAUGACAAUCUUCAUUCAUAUCUACUUCCAACAUAUGAACGAUUGUGGACAAUUUGAACAAUUCGAUUAUUCCUAAUAAACUCAAUUAUUCUGGAAGUCAAAACAUGCAAAGUGAAACAAUAGUUAAACAAUUAACAUAAGAUAGUAACAUUACUCAUAAAUAAAACUCCUUUAUUUAAUCAUCAAAUGUUAAUUACAUUUAUCUAUUACACGUUUCUAAUACUAUCUAAUCUAUGCUAAUAUCAUCCUUCAGCCCAAUACUCCUAGCAUGCUGCAAGUGCUUAACCCUACUCAGUCCCUUCGUAAGCGGAUCUGCUGGGUUAUCUUCUGAUGAUAUCCUCUUCACUACGAGUUGUCCUUCUUCUACACGAUGUCUAAUGAAGUGAUAUUUUCUGUCGAUAUGUCUUGAUCUACCAUGAUCCCUCGGUUCCUUGGUCAAGGCAACCGCUCCUUCGUUAUCACAGAAAAUCUCCAUGGGCUCCUUUAUGGCAGGUACAACUCCAAGAUCACCGAUGAAGUUCUUUAGCCAUAUUGCCUCCUUCGACGCUUCGCUCGCUGCAAUGUACUCUGAUUCGCACGUUGAAUCAGCUACGGUUUCCUGCUUGGAACUCUUCCAUGUCACUGCUCCUCCAUUUAGGGUAAAGACCCAGCCCGACUGCGAACGGUAGUUGUCCCUGUCGGUCUGAAAACUGGCGUCACUAUACCCUCGCACCUUCAAGUCAUCACUCCCUCCGAGGACUAAGAACCAUUCCUUCGUCCUCCGAAGGUACUUAAGGAUAUUCUUCACCGCAAUCCAAUGUGCUCUGCCAGGAUUCCCUUGAUAUCUGCUAACCAUGCUCAAAGCGAAGGCUACAUCAGGGCGAGUACAAGUCAUAGCGUACAUGAUUGAGCCAACUGCGGAAGCGUAUGGUACUCGGCUCAUUUCUGCUAUCUCAGCUUCGGUACUCGGACUUUGAGUCUUACUCAAUUUGGCAUUACUUUGUAUCGGUAGUUCUCCCUUCUUUGAGUUUUCCAUACUAAAACGUUUUAGUACCUUCUCUAAGUAAGUAUUCUGACUAAGUCCAAUUAGUCUCUUACUUCUUUCUCUUACUAUCCUUAUUCCCAAAAUGUAAGAAGCCUCUCCGAGGUCCUUCAUAGCGAAGCACUUCCCGAGCCAGGACUUAACCUCCUGCAGAGUCGGGAUGUCGUUUCCUAUGAGUAAUAUGUCAUCGCCAUAUAGAACGAGGAAGCUUACUACACUCCCACUAGUUUUGACAUAUACACAAGAUUCGUCUUCGCUUCGUACAAAUCCAAACUCUUUGACUUUCUCAUUGAAGCAAAGAUUCCAUCUGCGAGAUGCUUGCUUAAGUCCAUAAAUGGACUUCUCAAGCUUACACACUCUAUUCGGAUGCUACGGAUCCACAAACCCCUCUGGCUGAGCCAUGUAAACAUCCUCAGCCAACUUUCCGUUAAGGAAAGCGGUCUUGACAUCCAUUUGCCAAAUCUCAUAAUCAUGAAAUGCGGCAAUUUCUAGCAUCAAUCUAAUAGAUUUAAUCUUGGCGAAUGGUGAGAAGGUCUCCUCAUAGUCAACUCCGGGAGUUUGAGUAAAGCCCUUCGCAACCAAUCAUCCUUUAUAUGUGUGUACCUUUCCAUCCACGUCGGUCUUCUUCUUGAAGAUCCAUUUGCACCCAACGGUCUUAUGUCCGGGCACAUAAUCAACCAAAUUCCAAACUUGGUUAUCAUACAUGGAUUGGAUCUCGCUAUCCAUUGCCUCUUUCCAUUUUGCAGACUCCGGGCCUGCCAUGGCUUCCUUAUAGCUAUUAGGUUCAUCAAGAUUUAUUAGUGUACCAUCACUAAUAUACGUGUCCCCUUCGGUAGUAAUAUGAAAACCAUAAAACUGGGGUUGAACUCUAACUCUAUCGGAACGUCUAAGAGGUAAGGAUUCGUCAAUCGGUUCAACCGGAGUUUCCUCCUCGGGUUGAGUGCCAGCGGUAGAGGUUCCUUCAUCUAUCGACUCUUGAAUCUCUUCAAGCUCGAUUUGCCUCCCACUGUCUCCUUGGCUUAUGAGUUCUCGCUCUCGGAAAACUCCUCUCCUCGCAACGAAGACAACAUUGUCCUUCAGUCUAUAGAAGAGAUAUACAAAGGAUGUCUAUGGGUAGCCGAUGAAAAUACAUCGCUCACUUCGAGGUUCGAGCUUUUCGUGAGUAUCUUGUCUCCCAAAAACCUCGCAACCCCAAACCUUGAUAUGUGCUAACGAGGGAGCUUUCCCUGUCCACAUCUCGUGAGGUGUUUUGGCAACCUUCUUAGUAGGGACUCGGUUAAGGAUAUGGGCGGCAGUCUCUAAGGCAUACCCCCAAAAAGAGAUUGGUAGUGAAGCACGACUCAUCAUAGAGCGAACCAUAUCCAAUAAGGUUCGAUUACGCCUUUCUGCCACACCAUUCAACUGCGGUGUCCUAGGAGGCGUCAAUUGUGAAACUAUUCCACACUCCUUGAGAUAAUCGUGGAAUUCAAGACUUAGGUACUCUCCUCCUCGAUCGGAUCGAAGCAUCUUGAUUUUCCUGCCCAAUUGAUUCUCCACUUCAUUCUUGAACUCUUUGAACUUUUCAAAGGUUUCUGACUUUUGCUUGAUUAAAUAGAUAUACCCAUAUCUACUGUAAUCAUCAGUAAAAGUCACAUAGAAACGGUUGCCAUCCUUUGUGGUUGAUCUAAACGGUCCACAUACAUCGGUAUGUAUUAGCUCCAAUAGACCUUCAACCCUUUCACAUGUACUCGUGAAUGGUGACUUAGUCAUCUUUCCAAGUAAACAAGACUCGCAUGUUUCAUCUUCCCUAAGGUCGAAUGACUCCAACACUCCAUCCUUUUGGAGCUAGGCUAUGCGUUUCUUGUUGACAUGUCCAAGACGACAAUGCCACAAGGAUGCUUUAUCCAUACUAGUGGAAGAAUCAAUAUUCAAAACAUCAUUUCCUAAGUUAUCAACAAUCAUAACGGUUUCAUAUAUUCCAUUACAUGGUAUAGCUUCAAAGUAAAAGACACCAUUUAGAUAAGCCAAAAUAGAACCAUUCUCAUUAUUAAAAGAAAAUCUAAAUCCUUGUCUAUAUAAACCAUGAAAUGAAAUGAUGUUUCUAGCCAUUUCUGGCGAAUAGCAACAAUUGUUCAAAUCUAAACAUAAAUUAUUCCUAAGCACUAAAGAAUACACUCCAAUCUUGGUCACAGGCGACGAUCUUCUGUUCCCCAUGAUUAGAUUGAUCCUUCCUUGCUCCACAUCCCUACUUCUUCUUAGUCCCUGCACAUUAGAACAAAUGUGAUAACCACAACCGGUAUCAAGAACCCAAGAAAUAGCAUGAUUAGAAUCGUUAGAUUUGAUUGUAUAUAUACCUGCGAAAGAUGGCUUGAUCUUUCCUUCUUUGAUUGCUUGCAGGUAAUCCGGGCAGCUUCUCUUCCAAUGUCCUAUCUUGUGGCAGUGGUGGCACUCUGCCUCCUUCGGGUUAGAGCAGGGCUUAGCGGGAUCAACUUUGGUCCCACUAGAAGAGGCACCAUCUCGGGCUUUCACCUUGCGAUAGUUCUUCGAUGAAGCUUUCCUCUUCUUUCCCUUCCCUUGUCCAAUAGCCAAGACAGGAGCAGCGGGCGGAUUGGGAGUAGGUGCAACAGACUUGUCUUUGAAGUUGCUCUCAGCAACCCUCAAGAGACCUUGGAGCUUGCUUAGGGUGACCUCUUCUUUGUUCAUGUGGUAGGUCAUCCUAAAUUGAUUGUACAUCGGAGGCAAAGAGUGAAGCACCAUGUCGAUCGCCAAAUCCUCACCGAAGUCAACAUUUAACUUGCGAAGGCGGUCGACAUACCUUUGCAUCUUUUGCAAGUGCACGGUAAGAGAUUCUCCAUGACCCAUCUUCGCGGAAAUCAUGUUAGUGAAAAUCUCGUACCUCUCUUGUCUCGCGUUUUGGUGGUACCUCUCCAAUAAGUCUUGGUGCAUCUCGUACGGGUACAUGUCCUCGUAGGACUUUUGGAAUUCGGAGUUCAUGGUGGCGAUCAUGAUGCAAUGUACCUUCGUUGCAUCUCGCUCAUGAGUUUCAAAGGCGGUGAUUUCGGCGGGAGUAGCAAUUUCGGGGUUGAUUUUCUCGAGCUUCUCAUCGAGGACAUACUCCUUAUCCUCAUAGCGAGCAAUGGUGCGAAUGUAUCUUAUCCAUUCGCUAAAGUUCGUUCCAUCGAAGGUGACCUUUUGGCAAAGGCUCAUCAACGUGAAAGAACUAGCAGCAGCGUUGUUUGCGUUCGACAUCUACAAUUAGAAAAGGACAAAGAUAGAUUAGAAUAAGAAUCCCUAAUUAUCACCCAAUAAGAAAAUUAGGGCUAGGAUCCAACAAUAACAUUUACAUACUAGAAAAGGGAUGCCGUAAUCUAACAUGCAAAUAAAUUGAAGGUAAGUGAAUGACGAUUCACUAAUUCUCCAUCACAAAACUUAAACUAUUAGUCCUAAGUGUUUUUGAGAAUUCCUAGGUUCGGAUGAGAUUCAUUGAAACUAUUCAAUGGCAUGUUUAAAUCUCGAUAUGCCCCUCUUGUUUGUGACUGGGAUGCCGAGGAUCACAAAGCGGGUGUGAAUUACCAUGCAAAUUCACAUGGUGCCUUCAUUGUAACGAUCACCUAUUCGAUGUGCCGGUAAACCACACACGCUCCAUCGAACUAUGAUAAACAAUGAAUCACCCUUUGCCACCUUCGCUUAGAACCAAUUAGUGUGCCGGUAAACCACACACGCUCCACUAACAUCUUAGCAAGGUGCAAAGUGUAAUUUCAUGGGAUUGCAUCAAUUCACUUUUCCUAAAGUAACUAGGAUUGGGAAAUUUUAAAAAUAUGUGUAGUUACUUUAUAUUUCUUAUUAUACUUUUAAUGAGAGGAUGAGGUUGCCCUAUCCUACCCGUUCGGCUAACGACCCUCCACCAAUCAAGCAAGCGGUGGGUGUGAGUGUACACCCAUUAAGCGCCAUUUUAUAGGCCGCAACCUUAUACCCACCUUAUAGAUCGGCUUCGUGAAUGAGGCCUACUAACGGUAAGACUAGCAUUUAGUUAUACAUAUAUAUAUUAUUCUAGUAAUAUCAUAUUAGUAUAGGGUUGUAUUUUAAAACUUUUAAAAUCUAGGGUUUGAAAUUUAAGUUGUCUAAAUUAAAGCUUUUAAUCACAAAAGUAAAUUUCAAAACAUGAGGGUAGGUUUUAAACAUUUAAAACAUGGAGGAUCAAAUAACAAAUAAUUCCAAUUAACAAUUAAUAUCCUAAUUAUCUAUAUUUGAUUUAUUCAAGAUUUUUUUUAAGAUAAUUACCAAAAUAAUUAAAAUAAUUAAUUAAUUAUCAUAUAAGGAAAUUAAAUAUUUAAUUAGUUGAUAAUUACCUUUAACUAGAUCAAGAUAAUAGUUAUAUUUAUCAGAAAAACGAAUUAAUGUUGAUCUAAUUAGUUUAUGGUAAGUUAAGAUAAGAUAAACACAAAGAAAUCCCGAAUCUGGCCAUUCCUGACGCCUGGACUCGCCGAGUGCACAAGGGGACUCGCCGAGUCAGGCCUACUCGCCGAGUCCACCUUGGGACUCGCCGAGUCAGUGACUCAGAAACCAAAAAAUCGAAUUUUGCAGGUUUGUUUCAGUUAAUCAAGCAACAAUUUAAAGAAAACCAAGCUAGGCUCUGAUACCACUGAUGGGUUUUAGCCAUAAGAACUUUCCUAUGUGCGCAUGCAAAACCCUAAUGCUUGGAUCUAGGCUUUCUAAUAAACAUGCAUUGAAUCCAAGUCUUCUAAUGACUAAUUAGGUUAAAUAACAACAUUGAAACAGAUCUAGAAUCAUACCUUUGAGUUCCUUGUUGAUCUUGAGGUCUUGGAGCUUCUAGAGUCACAAAUGUCACUCCUCUAAUGGCUUACAAACACCAAUAGCAAGAAGAAUGAUUUAGGAGAGAGGAGAGGGGAGGAAUUCGGCCAGGGUUCUCUUACUUUAUGAGAUGUGUCGAAUUCCCUAUGCCAUGGGGUCUAUUUAUACUUGUAGACUCCUUAAGGGUUACAACCUAAACCCUAAUUGGAUAAUCUUCUCUUAAGGCUAUCCAAAUCCAUUCCAUAGAUAAGCCUUUGGACGAUUUUAGCUAUCCUAUAUCUCAUAGAAUUCGUCCAUAGCAUAUCCAAAUGGAUUUACAGUCUAAAGCUUAACUAUCAAACAAUUGACAGUUUAUACCCCUUUAUUUAAUUAACCUCUUUAAGUCACCAAAUUAAUUCCAAUUAAUUCUAUGACUUAUAUUAAUCAAAUAACAAUAUAUUAUUCUUUAUAUUAUUCUCAUAAUAUAUUAAUAAUAUUUACUCUCUCUUAAUAAAUCAUCCUAUCAAGUUGCUAUGGUGAAGGCAACCCAAAAGGACCAUGCACAACCGGGUCAAAUACUUGCCUAAUAUAGUUGCAGCCUUAGACACUAUUCCAACACUCUGUACUGACAAAACCCUCUGGCCGAUUCAUGUAAACAUCCUCAGCUAACUUUCCAUUAAGGAAAGCGGUUUUGACAUCCAUUUCCCAUAUUUCAUAGUCAUGAAAUGCAGCUAUGGCUAACAAUACCCUAAUAGACUUAAUCUUGGCUACUGGUGAAAAGGUCUCAUCAUAAUCAACUCCUGGAGUUUGAGAAAAGCCCUUUGCGACCAGUCGGGCCUUAUAAGUUUGUACAUUACCAUCCUUGACGGUCUUCUUCUUGAAGAUCCAUUUGCACCCAACUGUCUUACGACCUGGCACAUUGUCAACCAAGUCGCAGAACUGAUUGUCAUACAUGGAUUGUAUCUUGCUAUCCAUUGCCUCUUUCGAUUUAGCAGACUCAGGGCCUGCCAUGGCUUCCGCAUAGCUGUUAGGUUCAUCCAGGCCUACCAGUGUCUCAUCACUAAUAAGUGUCUAACCUUCUGCAGUAAUAUGGAAACCAUAGUAAUGCUCAGGUACAUUCCUAACCCUUGUGGAACACCUCCGAGGUACAACUGGAGGUAUAAUUUGAUCAACAGGAGGUUCCUCCUCAAUUUGACUGCUAGGGUUUGAGGUUCCUUCACCACUUGACUCUUGAAGUUUUCAAGGUCAAUAAGCCUCCCACUAUGUCCUUGGCUUAUGAACUCUCUCUCUCUCUCUCUCUCUCUCUCUCUCAAAAGACAGCCCUCCUUGCUACAAAGACUACAUUCUCACUAGGUCUGUAGAAGAGGUAACCAAAGGAUUUUUGUGGGUAGCCGAUGAAAAUCACCUCUCGCUUCGAGGUUCGAGCUUGUCAUGAGUCUCGCGUCUCACAAAAGCCUCGCAACCCCAAACCUUGAUGUGAGCUAGACUUGGAACUUUUCCAGUCCACAUCUCGUGAGGUGUUUUGGCAACGUUCUUUGUAGGGAACAGAUUAAGGAUAUGGGUGGCAGUUUCUAAGGCAUACCCCCAAAAUUAUAUUGGUAGCGUAGCUUGACUCAUCAAGGAACGAACCAUGUCCAACAAGGUUCGAUUACGCCUCUCAGCUACACCAUUUAACUGUGGUGUCCUGGGAGGUGUCAAUUGUGAGACAAUCCCACAUUCCCUUAUAUAGUUGAGGAACUCAGUACUAAGAUACUCUCCACCACGAUCGGAUCGAAGCAUCUUAAUAUUCCUGCCCAAUUGAUUCUAGACUUCCUGUUUAAAUUCCUUAAAUUUUUCGAAAGUCUUUGACUUAUGCUUGAUUAAGUAGACAUAUCCAUAUCCACUGUAAUCAUCAGUAAAAGUCAAAUAAUAACGAUUGGCAUCCCUUGUGGCAUGUUUGAAGGUCCCACACACAUCCGUGUGUACAAGAUCCCACAAACCUUCACCCCUCUCACACGAUCCUGUGAAGGGUGACUUUGUCAUUUUUCCAAGUAAGCAUGAUUCGCAACUAUCAUCUGAACUUAGGUCAAAUGACUCCAAGACUCCAUCCUUUUGGAGUUGGCCUAUGCGUUUCUUGCUUAUAUGUCCGCGACGAUAAUGCCGUAAUGAUGCUUUAUCCAUGUUAUUACCAUUAGUAGAAUCAAUACACAUUACAUUAUUUCCUAAGUUAUCUUCAACAGACACAGCUUCAUACACACCAUCACAAGGUAAUGCUUCAAAAUAAAACACAUUAUUAAAGAAAGCAUUUAUUCCACCAAUUUCAUUAUCAAAAGAAAAGGUAAAACCUUGUUUAUACAAAGCAUGAAAGGAAAUAACAUUUCUUGCCAUUUCUGGCGAAUAACAACAUUUAUUCAAAUCUAAAGUAAAUCCACUACUAAGCAACAAAGUAUAAACUCCAAUCUUGGUGACAGGUGAAACUUUCCUAUUCCCCAUGAUUAAGUUUAUCUUUCCAUGCUCCACAUUCUCACUUCUUCUUAGUCCCUGCAAUUCAUAACAAAUAUGAAUACCACAACCGGUAUCAAGGACCCAAGAGUUAGAAUAGAGUGAAUAAUUAGAUUAUAUAGUGUAAAUACCUGCAUGGUUAGGUUUUACUUUCUCAUCCUUCAAAUGUUGCUGGUAUUUUGGACAGUUACGCUUCCAGUGCGCCUUUUCGUGACAAUAGAAGCAUUCAGCCUCUUUGGGAUCAGAAGAAGGUAUAACAAAACCUUUCUUGGUUCCGCUAGAAGAGGAGCCAUCAAGAGUCUUACCCUUGGUACCCUUCGAAGGGUUCUUUCUCUUCUUCCCUCUACCUUUCCCGAUUGCCAGGACAGGUGCUGAGUUUGGAGUAGUAGCAGGAGUGGUCACAACCGACUUACCUUUAAGACCUGAUUUUGCAGUCUUUAAGAGUCCCUGAAGUUUGCUAAGUGUAACUCCUCCUUAUUCAUGUGGUAUGUCAUGCGGAAUUGAUCAUAACACGAAGGCUAAGGAGUGCAAAAUAAUAUCUAUUGCAAACUCCUUAGGGAAGUUCACAUUCAACUUCAUCAAUCGAUCCACAUACCUUUACAUUUUCUGCAUGUGGCUUGUGAUGGGUUCGCCAUCUUUCAUUCGAGUUGUGAUCAUAGAGGAGAUGAUUUCAUAUCGCUCUUGACGAGCACUCUGAUGGUAGCGGUCCAUCAAAUCCUGGUGCAUCUCAAAAGGAUAGUAGUCCUCAUAGGACUUUUGGAGCUCGGCUGUCAUGGUGGCCAUCAUGAUGCAUGCCACUUUGGUAGCAUCUCUUUCAUGAACCUCAUAUUCAGCAAGCUCCUCAGGAUUAGUAGUUGGCUCAGGCACCUUGAGCUCCUUGUCAAGAACAUAUUCCUUGUUCUCAUAAUGAGUGACCAUCCUAAUGAUUCUGAUCCAAUCAGUAAAGUUGGAUCCAUCAAGGAUGACUCUCCCACAAAGGUUCAUGAGAGAGAAGGAGCCGGUAGGGUUUGAGCCAGGAGUAGAAUUAUUGGAAGAUAUCUGAAGAGAAGAAAGAUAAGUUUAAUUUAGAUAUAGCGAUAGUCCUUAAUAAAACACCCAAAUGUAAUAUUAAGGCUAGGAUCCAAUCAUAAUAUAUUAUAACCUAGAAGACGGAUGCCGUAAUCCAAGUUAUAAAAUAUUUGAAAGGUAGGUGAAUGACGAUUCACCAAUUUCCACCAUGAAAAAGAAAUAUAAAUUAUUAGGUUUUUAUUUGGUUUUUAGAAAUUCCUAGAUUUUUUGAGAUUCAUUGAACUUUUCAAUGGAAUGUUUCAAUCUCGAAUGUGCCCUUUAUGUUUUGUGACUGGGAUACUGAGGAUCACAAAACAAGGUGUGAAGUAACCAGGCAAAUUACUUGGUACCCUUAAUGUUUUUCACUUAAUCGUUGUGUCGCUAAACCACACGCGUUUGUUCCGACCACACGAAAAACCUUAAGUCACCCUUUGCCUUCCUUGUUAAGUCUAAGUUUGUGUGCCGGUAAACCACACACGCUCCACCAACGACUUAAACAAGGUGCGAAGUGUAAUUUCAUGGAUUAGCACCUUAUUCACAUUUUUCCUAAAUUAACUAAGAUUGAGAAUUUAUAAAACAUUUAGUUACUCUAUAAUAAUCAUUAUACUUUUAAUGAGAAUUUUUAAGUCGUUGUCCUACGCGUUCGGCUAACGACCCUCCACCAGUCAAGCAAGCGGUGGAUGAGAGUGGAAACCCAUUAAGUUUCCAUUUUAUAGGCAAUAGCCUUAUACCAACCUUAUAGACUGGCUUCGUGAAUGAGGUGUACUAGCGGUAAGACGACUUUGAUCUUAUACAUAUAUAUAUAUAUAUAUAUAUANNNNNNNNNNNNNNNNNNNNNNNNNNNNNNNNNNNNNNNNNNNNNNNNNNNNNNNNNNNNNNNNNNNNNNNNNNNNNNNNNNNNNNNNNNNNNNNNNNNNNNNNNNNNNNNNNNNNNNNNNNNNNNNNNNNNNNNNNNNNNNNNNNNNNNNNNNNNNNNNNNNNNNNNNNNNNNNNNNNNNNNNNNNNNNGACUUUACUUGUUCCAAAACUUGAGGGCAAGUUUUGUAAACUUUCAAAACUUUUCAUUUCUUGUAACUUAUGAGUUAAUUAGAGUAUUAAAAAUGAAGACUCUUCAUUUUUCUAACUCUUGUGUUCUUUUAAUGGUUUUAAUUCAAGUGUGACUCUUGGUUUUCCAUAACUUGAGGACAAGUUAUGGACUCCAUUAAAACACAUUAUGAUCAAGAAUUAAACUACCAAGUAGGUUACAAGUAAUUCCUAUGAUCAUCUAAAUUCAUAAGAUCAAGAACAUGAAUAUCCAUAUCAAAGUUUCAAGACCAUAUGAACACAUAUAAUCAUGAAAAAUUGAUAUUUGCCAUUGUAAAUGGAUUAGAACAAACAUUACACCAUCUAAAACAAGUUUUAUAACACCAAAACAGUUUAGGGUAAUGUUUCUAGUCCAUUUCCAGCAGCAAAAGUCGAAAAUCUGCAUUCUGUGGCUCCUACUCGCCGAUUGCACGAACCUACUCGGCGAGUAGGUUGAAGAUACACAUGAAUUCGGUGAGUCCCCCCAUGGACUCGGCGAGUUCAUCAGGAAGAUUGCACAAAAUCGACUUUUUUCAACUAUUUAGCACAAAUAACAAACAAACAAGCCUAGGCUCUGAUACCACUGAUGAGUUUUGAGCAUUCUAACACUUCCUAAGUGUACAUGGAACCCUNUCCUAAGUGUACAUGCAACCCUAAUAACCUUGGAUCUAUGUUUGUCUAAUUAUCAUGCAAAGUUGAUUUCCAAGGCUAUGAUCCUAUCUAGCAUACAUGGGGAACAAUUUUAACUUGAAUAAAAGAUAGAACUACAUACCUUGUUGUUGAUUUUGAUCCUUGAAACCUUGUGAGCCUAGCACCCCAAGUGUGAUGCCUCAAAUGCUUCACACAACACCAAAUGCUAUGGAGUAAACUUGGAGAGAAAGUAUAACAUUCUAAAAAUCGGCUCUAGCCCUCAAGUAUGCAUGCAUGUGUAGCCGAUUUUGGGAGAAACAUGAGCUUUAUAUAGUGUUAACACAUUUAGGGUUACACCAUGUAAACCCUAAUGUGUCAUGACUCUUCAUUUCCAUGACCCAUGGGUUUGUAACUCCCAUGGAGCAUCCAAUGGGUUUAACCCAACUUCAUUAUCCAUGGAGCCUCUUAGCCCACUAUAUAAGUUAUGGAUGAUUUACAUAAUCAUCCCAUAUAUUUAAUUAGUUAUUUUUUGAUCACUUAAUUAAUUCUAAAAUUAAUUCUUGAUCAAACUAAUUAAAUAAUAUUAUUAAUAUAUUAGAACUUAUAAUAUAUUAAUAAACCACAAGUGUUAUUUCUCUCAUUUAGUCUAUCCAAUUGCAUGGUGCCAUGCAACCCAACUGGACCAUGCCGGGUCGGGUCAAGUACAUACCAAAAAUAGUUAUGGACUUAGACACCUUAUCCAACAACAUGAUGGUGAAGUUUUGACAACAUGUACAUCUAGUUCUACUAAUGCAUGGGUCUUAGACUCUGGAGCAUUCUAUCAUAUGUCAUCCAAUUGGGACUGAUUCAACUCCUUCAAAUAGUAGAAUGGUAUAGUCAAGAUGGGUGAUAAUUCGGUGAGAAGGAUCAAGGGCAAUGGCAUGAUACAUAUCCAAAUAUACCUGAUGGUUUUUAUAGGUUACUAAACCAUUGUGCUUGCGUAAUUUCACUAAACACUUAAGGGCAUAUGCAGCCUAAAGUAUCUAUGUCAUACACACUGAAUGCAACAUAUUAUGAACAAUAAGAAUCUAGAUGAACUGUAAUAUAAUCAAAAUACAAUAGACGAAUUAGGAUUUCAUACCUUUGAUUUGUUAUACUAAACAAAUCACUUCAAUCCUUCAUUUGUAGAGCUUGGAAAGCUAGAACCAAAAGUACGAUGCCUCUAAUGCCUCACACCCGAACCAUAGAACUAGAAGAAAAUUGAGGAAAGCAGAAGAGGAGGAAAUUUCGUUCCUACGCUUUAUAGCAAGUGAAUGAACGAAUUCAAGUGCCUAAGGGUUCCUACAUUAUAGUUUACGUAACUUAGGAACAAAGAAGUAUUUGAAUGGAUUUUAAUCCCAAUCCAAAUCCUUUCCUUAUAUGAAUCCAAGAGAAAUCUUGAAACCCCAAGGAGGCUCCCAAUAUUGUCCACCCUUGGAUGGUGUUGGAACUGUCUCUCUUGUUCAACUAUUGAGCAAUUACAAUUUACCCAUUCCAUCUUUAUUAAUUCCAAUUAAUCUCGAAUUAAUUCCAUAAUAAUUUUGAUUAAUAGCUAAUCAUUUCUAAUUCAUUUUACAUCAAUUUAUUAAUCAUAUAAACUAACAAAUCAAUUAUUUAAAAUUUGAUCGCAUAUCAAUCUAUUAAUCACAUAAUAAAUCAACAUGUCGAUUAUCUAUUUCCAGUUAAUACAUUAAUCACAUAAUAUAUUAACAAAUAUUUUCCUCAUAAUUUCCAAUUAGUUUAUUAAUCAUCUAAUAAUUUAAUAAAUUACCCUUUAUCUAUAAGUAUCAUUCUAGCCAAGUUCUAAUUAUGAGGGCAACCCAAAAAGGACUUUUCUUUCAAUUAUUAUAAUAUAACAAUUUUGUUACUGGCUUCGACACCUUAAUCCAACCAUCUGCCACUUGGAUAAGUCUUUAACUACUACAGAAAGUAUAGCCCUUGAACUAAACAACAAAUAGAGUUUUCCAAAGCCACUACCGAACUCAGAUUCAAAUCAAACGUUUGACCUAAGAUAAGUGAUCAACAAUUAUUUCCUUCUAGAAGAUAUCGAAUGAACAGAGUAAUGGAUUAAAUAAUCAACCUCAUGAUUAUUUAUUAUGUUUCCUGAUUUCCCGAUUCGUGAUCGAAUUCAUACUACAAAAUUGAACACAUCAAUUUAGUCCGGACCAUACCUAGUUCUUAUAUAUCAAAUCAAAUCACUGAGGGGUCCACAUAUAUGGAUUUUCCUGUUUGGUCAAAAGGAAUGAAUUACUUUGACUAUAUAGUCAUACAAUUUACAUAUCAAAUCACACAUGAAAGAAUCCUUUAUAACAUCCAGUGACAAGACACGUUUGAGCUAACUAAUGCACAACUAAUUUGUAAACUAUCAAUUAUAUAUCUCCACUUUAAAAAUAGAAGAUACUAUCCUCUUAUAAUUACUUUCGAUUAAAUCCAUGAAGGAGUCUUUAAGAGUGGAUUUAUCUAGUACUUAAAAUCUCUAUUUUCAAAGUAUUCAUGAAUAUUAUAGCAAUUCCAAUUGCAAUUUCUUAACCUCAAUUGACAAUAUACAAUCAAUUAAUGGCAAUCCUAAGUCACUACUUACUUCCAAAAGUAUGAACGACUGUGGAAUUUUGAAUAAUAUUAAAAUUACUUUGGUAAGUAAAAUAUGCAAAGUUAAACACAGUAAUAAAAUAAUUAACUAUAGUGUCAUACCCAUUGAUAAUAAAUAAAUCUCAAGAUAAUGACCAUAAUAAUUAAAUUUUAUUCAUUGUAUAAUGUUUUGAAUAAUCAACUAAUCACUUGAAUUAGAUAACUGCCAUUUUAUAAACAUGCAUACUAUGCCUCUCAAUGGUCCUUCCUUUGUGAACAUGUCAACUGGUCACUACUCUAAGGAUGCUCAUUUCCCUAUUCCAAUUUCUUAUCCUUAUUUAAGACGUAGUGGAUUUUCAUCUUCACAAGAACAGACCUUUUGUGACAUCGAGGUUCUAAAGUCACAGAGACCGAGCCUUCCGUAUUAUAGAAUGUUCCACUGGAACUUGUUAGUUGAAACAAUUCUAUGGUUAUGAAAUCUCAAAUUAAAGGUACACUCCUUGAACACUUCCCUUGCAUUUAAUUUUCCAACUCAUAUGUAGAUUGAUAAGUAACUCCCAUUGUGUAAAAAUUUCCAUAUUCCUAUAUGACCAUCACUCUCACCAAGAAUCAUCUCAAUCAAGAACAUAUCACUAUGGUCCGUCCUAACAAUAACAUACUCCCAUUAUCUACAAGCAAUCAAUUCUUUAGUAAAACCUUAGAAUGUUCUUGGCAGUUGUUUAUGAUGAGAUAAAAUCUCUUGAUCGUUUUGAUCUUUCACAGGUAUAUUAAUGAAGAACAAACUACUAAAUCAAAAAAGGAAAAGAACACAAUAUAGAAUCAAUAUAAAGCUUAUGAUUCAAACAUAGUCACGCCUUAGCAGAGCUCGAUAAAGAACUUCCACUAUAAAGCCAUGCUAGAGUUUACAAUACUAUGAUCAGAAUAAUAAAAGCAUUAAAAACAAGGGAUGCAUUCAUGCACCCUAAAUACUAAUUCCCUAGAAUAAAAUAAUGCAAGGUUGGACAGGCCCAAACCGGUUACAAAACUGGGCGAAAGCGAACGAGCCCAAGACGCAACAAUAUGAUCCCAACAAUCUCCCCAUUUGCGUCAAUUGGGGCGAGACAUUCACUUCGGUUGUGUGACCUUGACUUGCUUGACAACUUUAAACAACUGAGGAAUAAUAUCAAGAAGCGUCUGCCGAAACUGAAUAUACUAACGAAGCAUAUCAGUAAACAUCUUUUUGUCAGCUUUACUGUUCUGAUUACACCUAUGGAUGAUCUCCAAAAUAUGCUCCAAGCAAGCAGUAGAGAACAUGUGUUUGUCAAUAAGAGCGAAUAUGCAUUUUUGACCUUCACCCCUAAUGAACAUCACCUUAUGAAACUUCGUGUCAAUCUUGCCCUUGAUCAUCAUGUUUACAUUGCUUGGUCUUCCAAUUGGUUUGACCAUAGUACGCUUGUGAAUAACAGUAGCAAUCUGUUGAUCCGUCUUUGCUACUUCAUGAAUGUAAAAAACAAGCAUUCUCUUGAUAUGAUCAAUGAUCGGCUGAUACUCCUGAAGAUUGCAUAGUAGAAUCUUGUUGAGGAGUAUCUAGUCAUGUGGGUUCAGAUUUGGAAGGUCAGCUAGGGAAAUGGUAUGGAUCGAGCUAUCUGAGCCUUGGGUCACUUUGAAUUUGACAUUGAUAAAUUUCCCAACUCAAGAGGGCUUCAAUACCCUGACCGUUGUAAGUUUCUUCAAGCUCUAGGUCAGGUAUUGUGGUUGAGCAAAUUCCAGAUAAAAUUCUAGCAGAUCCCGAUCAACCUUCGUUUCUGGAGAAGGAACGACAGUAGUUGAGGCAAAGCAGUGAAAGAUGAAUGUCUUUCAGUUAAUUGGCAUGUCGAACUGAGCGUCCUUCAAGUUCUGAAGACCGAACGAUAAAACGGGUUCAAGCCAAUGAGUUCUCGGUUCAUCAAUGACUUCCCUCUAGAGCGAUUCAAUAGGCCAUUCGGGAAACAUUGACUUUUUUUUUAUCAAGAAGUUCCUUCUCUUUCAUUUCUUUCUCCAACCGAUCCAUCUUCUGUUAAAGCUCUUGCUCAGAAGGCUUGAAUUUUGGAUAAUGCUUGGAAGGAGCUCCUAUAGCAAUAUCACCAAUAUCAUCCUCCUCAUCUUCAUCAUCUUCUCCAAUGAUCUUCUUUUUCUUUUGACUUUUACUGGCCGAAGCUUCAUUAUCCUUCGGUCCAGUAGUAACUUUCGGUUCUGGAGGAGGUGGAGAUUGAGUUUUUUCAAGUUUGCCUCCUUGGGAUUUCUUUUCUCCCCUUGUUUCGGAAGAACAUCAGUGUCCGAAACACCUUCAAUUCGACUGAGAAGAUCCAAGGCAGGACGUAGCUUCUCAGCCAAGUGACGGUGAAUGAAGAUCGUAAACAUAGAGUCAUGGGCGUCCAGGAGAUGAAGCAAGAUCAAAUGGACACCACUAACAGUGUUGCAAAUCACCUCUCAUUCAGAUUUUAGAUCAUUAAGCUCUUGAAUUGCAGUACAAAUCUUUAAGUUAUGAACUUUGAGCUAGGAGGUUCGCUUGUCUAGCUCAUCCAUGACUUUGUUUUCAAUUGCUAGCUCUGCCUCAAGAUUAGUUAACCGUUCAUCAACUUUGGAAUGAAGCUCUUAAUUAGCAGCUUCAAUGGCUUUACAAGCCAUGCCAAGUAGUGAUAGCUCUACCUCUAAUGAGCGUUUAAGAAAAUCAACCGAAGCAUUCAUGGUAUGUGCAUUUUUCUGAGCAGCAGAUUGAAGGGAAUCUAUAAAGAUUUGUGCUUCUGAAAUUAGUUUUUCAACUUUUGCGGUCGCAUCCUUGAAGUAUUUAGUAGAGGUUUCCAUAGCAAGUGAAGCCUUUAGGAAUUGAGAAAUGGAGGCAUCAAUAGCCUUCGCUGCAUUGGAGAUAGAGGUGUCAUGCUCCUUAACUGCAGAAGAGAAGAGGGCCGUGAGAGCAGCUUCCGAGUAGGGAUUAGCAGAGGAAGAGGAAAGUAACUGAUCAAGCUUAUUAGUCACAGCCUUGAGAUGUCGCUUGGUGAGAGGAGCGUCAUUAGCAUCGUUGCUCUGAACACGAUAAGGACUGAAGUAAGUAGAAUCGACCUCCAUGUCCUCACCUGCGAGAACAAUAUUGGUUUUGGUUGAACGGGUAGGAGAUGGAUGUUUAGUAGUGACAGGGGUUUCAGUUGGAGAAGAACGAACCCCCGUAUUAGAUAUUUUGGUCUGAACUCCCGUGGUAGUGGUAGUAGUAGCGUCGAAAAAAAUGGGUGUAGGGAUGGGAAUAGUGGAAGAAGGUUGGGAUGUGAUAAAUGGGAAGGUUGUGGGUAAGGAAAUAGGAAUAGAAGCAGGUGGAGAAGAAGGAACUGGAGAGCGAAUAGGUACCUCAGGUGUGGGUAAUAUAGGUAGAGUAUCACCACGAGCCGAAACCUCCUCGUCAGAGCUCUCACUCUCUGAUGCACUAGGAGAGGGUCGUUUAUGUCCAACAGGGACAUAAUUAGAAUCCGAAUCGCUCGAGGACAAAAGAAUAAGCCUCCGAGCAAGUUUCUUUCUCUUUUUCUGCUUGGGCUGUGAAGGUGCUGCCUUCUCAGUCUUUCGUUUCUUUGGAGUUUGUCUCUUAUGUCCUUUGAUUACCAGUCCUUCAUUCAUUUUAUCUUGUUUCUUUCCCAUAUUGGAUGGUUUAUCUGCUUCCUCAAUGGAACGAACCAUUGCUGGUGUGAGUUCCCUUGGGCCCGAAUCUGGAAGUUUCUUGUAUGCAUGAAUCAUUGCACUUUGUUCAGGCACACAUGCAUACAUGGAUGCUGGAAUCGAUCCAAUAAACAAAUCCUUGGACAUAUUAGUGACUAGAAUCUUGGUUGUAUGAAAUGUGGCAAUGGAGGAGAGAAGCAAAUCUACCAUGAUUGGGACAUGUAGACGAUCCAUCACCUAUUUUGUGACAAUAGACCAGAACCUUCCACAGUAAACUUCAUAAUGGCGUGAAGAAGAGGAUAAGCUUUGAACAAGUUGUUGCCAUACAACUGAGCCAUAAUCCAUACAUACCCCAUUGUACAAACCAUAAAGCAUGGUCAUAAAUGACUUGCUUGCACCAUCAGAUCCAGCGCUUCGCUCAGAAAGACCUUUGAACAACAAUGUGAAGAGGCCAUUCCAUUGAGGAGGAAGGCAAGAUUUCUUCAACUUCGUCACUGUGGUUAGGGUUGUUGGAUUAAUGUCUAAGUCCAUAACUAUAAUUGGUAAGACUUGACCCGACCCGGCAUGGUCCAUUUGGGUUGCAAACCUUCAUGCACUUAGAUAGACUAUAAUGAGAGAAAUAAGACACUUAUGGUUAUUAAUAUAUUAUAAGUUCUAGUAUAUUAAUAAUAAGAAUAAUAAGAUUGUUUAAUUAGUAUUGAUCAAGAAUUAAUCUAUGAUUAAUUAAGUGAUCAAAAGAAGACUAAUUAAAUAUAUGAGUUGAUUGUGUAAAUCAUCCAUACUUAUAUAGUGGGCUAAUGCUCCAUGGAUAAUCAAGUUGGGCUAAAACCCAUAGGUUGGUCCAUGGGUGCUCCAUGGUGUAUUUGAACCCAUGGAUCCAAGGAAAUGGAAAGUCAUGACAAUUAAGGAUUUACCCUAAUUGUAACACUAUAUAAUGAUCUUAUUCUUGACAAAAAUCGGCCACUAGGAUUAUUCUAGAGAGGGCUAGCCGAUUUCAUGAAGUGUAGAACUCUCUCAAGUUAUUCUAAGUGUUUUGAUAACUGUGAUUCCAUUUGAGGCUUCCACACUAUUGGGGCUAGGCACUCAAGCUUCAUGAAGACUUUCUACAUCAAAGAGGUAUGUAUUCUAUCUUGUUAUAUUCAUGUUUUGUAUGAUAGAUUAGGAUGAUACCUUGGAUAUUCUUAUUUGCAUGUAUAAUAGAGAAAACAUAGAUCCAAGGUAUUUAGGGUUGCAUGUACACUUAGGAGUGUUAGAAUGCUCAAAACCCAACAGUGGUAUCAGAGCCUAGGCUUGUUUUCUUGUUAUACUUGCAAAUGGAGCUGAAAAAUCGAGUUGUGAUGCUGUCAGCCCAGCAGACUCGCCGAGUCCAUGAAGGGACUCGACGAGUCCAAGGCAAAAUUCAUCCAACUCGCCGAGUUAUGUUCAUGCACUCGACGAGUUGGACCCCAGACAGCAUAUUUUCGAGGUUUUUGGCUAGAAAUGGACUAGGAACAUUACCCUACGUUGUUUUUGAACUUAUAAACUUGUUUUUUAAUGUGGUAAUGUUCAUGCUAAUCCAUUUUCAAAGAUAAUUGUCAAUAGAUUCAUGUUUUGUAUUAGUUUAAGGUUUAGACUAAUUACAUGAAGAAGUUUGAUAUGAAUUAUCUUGUUCUUAUGAGUUGCUUAGAUUAAUAGAAAAGUUAAUUGAAAUAGUUGUUUUCAAUCCAUUUUAAUCUAAGAGUUGAGUACAAAAUGUGUUUGUGUAACUUGUCCUCAAGUUACAUGAAGAGUCACAUUAAAGACUCAUAAAACUCAUAAAAGUUGGUAAUGGUUACAAAAUGAAGAGUCUUGUGUCAUUGAAUUUUUUUUUUUUUGACUCCAUAACUUGUCCUCAAGUUAUGGAAAUUCAAGAGUCACUUCAUUAAUAAAUAAAUAAAUAAAUAAAGUGUAACCUUAAUUAAUUCCAUAAGUUAUAAAAAUAAAGAAAAGAUUAAUUCUUUUAUUAGUUUAAAGUCUUCCAUAAGUUAUGGAACUUGAAGAGUUUUUUGGAUUAAAACUACUUUAAACACAUAAGUUAUGGAAUUAAUUAGUUUUGAAUAGUUUCAAAACUUGCCCUCAAGUUUUGGAAUUUGAAAAGUUUUCACUUAUGAAUACUUUAAUUCCAAGUUAGCCCUUAGAAUUUUAAAAAAUAAAAUUCAACCCUUAUACUUUAUAAUAUUAUAAGUUAAUAAUAUAUAUAUGUAUAAGAGUAAAGUCAGUCUUACCGCUAGUACGCCUCAUUCACGAAGCCGGUCUAUAAGGUGGGUAUAAGGUUGUUGCCUAUAAAAUGGCAACUUAAUGGGUGUCCACUCUCACCCACCGCUUGCUUGACUGGUGGAGGGUCGUUAGCCGAACGGGUUUGACAGGACUAGAAUUCUCCCUUCAUUAAAAGUAUUAAUGAUAAUACUAAGUAACUAAACUCUUAAUAAUACCCAAUCUUAGUUACUUAGGAAAAAUGUGAAUAAGGUGCUAAUCCAUGAAAUUACACUUUACACUUUGUCUAAGUCGUUAGUGGAGCGUGUGUGGUUAACCGGCACACUAACUUGGACUUAACAAGGUAGGUAAAGGGUGACUUAAUAUUUAUCAUAGUAUCGAUGGAGCGUGUGUGGUUAACCGGCACAUCGAUUGAGGGGUAAUUUAUUAAGGGUACCAAGUGAUUUGCAUGGUUACUUCACACCUUGUUUUGUGAUCCUCGGCAUCCCAGUCACAAAACCUGAAGGGCACACUCGAGAUUGAAACAUGCCUUUGAAAAGUUCAAUGAAUCUCAAAGAUCUAGGAGUUUCAAAACCAAUUAAAACCUAAUAAUACAUUUCGUUUAUCUUGGUGGAAAUUGGUGAAUCGUCAUUCACCUACCUUCAAAUAUUUUAUAGCUUGGAUUACGGCAUACCUCUUCUAAGUUAUAAAAUAGUUUGUUGGGUCCUAGCCUUAAUAUUUCAUAUUGGGUGUCAUAUUAAGGACUUUAAAUCAACUAUCUUGAAUAUCUCCCAAAAGAUGUCUGGUUUAGACACCUAUGAUCUUCCCAAAUCUCUUGAAACAAGGUUUCCUAAUGAAGAUGAUGUCCCAUGGAUAUCAUACUUCUUUCUCCUCCUCCAAUUAUUCUCCCUAACCCACAAGUUCUUGAAAAGUUUAAGGUCACUCAAGCCCUAUUGGCAAGGCAAGGUCUAGGUGUGAUCACAUCUUGGAGAUGUAGUCACAUAUUGACAAGCCGGGAGAGUUGGGUGUCAAAGUCUUGAGAAAGUUGGUGGUUCAAUCACUUUCUAAGUCACAUAGUGAGUUCCUUUGGGACACCUAUGAAACAGACUAUGACAAGACCCUUAAUGAUCUUAUCUAUUUGCUAAGAUCAACUUCCUAAAACUUUAUGGACAUUGACAAUGAUGACAUUGGAUAUCCAGUAAAGCAUUCUCUUCCCAAUGGAAAGGGAUCGGCCAUAGUCAACUCGGUUGACCAAAUGGUAAAGAGAAAAGCUAAGUCUGUGAUAGUCCCGUGUACCAUUAUCAAAGGGUCCAUAUGUUUAUAUUGCCAAAGGAAGGGGCAUUGGUUGCGAAGCUGCCAAAUUUACCUAAGGAUGUUAAAGUCAAUAAGUUUGACUCUACUUCAGGUAAAGUCCACUAUCUAACUCUGUUAAGUUUCUAUUCUGAGAUUCUUGAUACAUGAUGUGACUGGGUCACAUGGUGAUGUUUUAAGAAUCAAAGAAAAGUGAAGAAACUUAAAGAAAGAAUAUGCUGAAUCUGAUGGCGUAGAUGGAUUUCUAUCGCAUAGUUUGAAGAUCGGAUUCUUGAGCUACUUCUUAGGAGUUAUGAGAUAUUGCUUAGGAAUAGAUAACAACAAGUUUUCAUAUGGAUUGUAAGGAUAAGUUUUUCCGCAAAGUUUUAAAAUAAAAGAAAAUUUUUUUGAUUUUAUUUAUUUUAAAAUAUCCUUACAAUGGCUUUUGAGGAAAAAUUGUUGCUUAUAUGAUUCCAUUAAGAGCAAGAGUGGAAAUAUGAAAUUGAUUCUUUCAUUUGUGGUAAUGUCUAGAUUUACCAAAUAAGGAAAGAUUCUCAUCACCCAAGUUUCAAUUGGACCGGAACUUGGAAUCAUGCAAGUUGUAUAGCAUGAUGAAUGAGAACUUUCAAGUUUUGGAAAAUUAAGACUAAUUACUUGUUCACAUGGAUGUGUGAGUCAAGUAAAGGACUUAGGGAUCGAGUACACAUUCUUGUGCACUGAUUAAGUCCACCACUAAAGAUCGAUAAGAAGAAUCAAAUAAGGCAGAAGGAUAAAAGUUUCUCAAAUCUGAAAAGAUGGGAGAGUACUUUAGUAUCAGUUUUGUGAUCAUCUUAAUGAUUAAGAAACCAUAUCAAAAUUAGUUCUCUAAGGAAAUCUUAGUGCAUUCUUAUGACUAAGAAGAGGAACUUGAAUUGUUGAAAUGGUUAAAUCAAGAAGAUGAGUCAUACUUCGUUCCAAUACAAGUCUUAGAGUCAUACUCCAAGAUUGUCAUUUGAGUGACAUGUCUUAAAGAAGGUUUAAAACACUUGUCAAAUGUAAGAGUAAAAGUUUUCUACUCUUGUACAUUUGAAAUUGGUAAGUUGUGAUGUUUUGGAUAAAACAAAGACCAACUUAGGCCAAUUGGGUAAAGUGUUUUUCUUGAUUAGAAUCCGCACUAUCUCUUGGAUGUUUGACAAGGGAGUCUUAUAUGUCAAGAGGACAGUGGGAGUCUUAAAGGUCUUGAAAGUCUCAAGAAAUAAUCAAGAAUAAAACCUAAAGUUCUUCACUAGCACACGACUUGAGGUUUAUAACCUAUCGUGUUGACAUAUCUGUGCCCAUUCCAGUUAAAGUUGGCUUUGCAUAUGAGUUCUUAGAGUUCUCAGUUUGUUGCAUAACAACUUGGAAGCAAUGGCAGGCCCUUGAGCUGCCAGGUGGCAAGAAGUUAAGAUUGAGUUCAAUCCAUAUGGUUUUGGAUUUGUCAUUAUCUUUGUCUUGUGAUUAUGGUUUGACAAAUUCAUAUGGGUAGGAACUCAUACACCAUAUAAAUCUAAGUGUCAUAAGGUUUCUCUCCGAUUCAUGAAAAUGAUGGUGAGGAAACGCUUUCACUAAGUAGAUUUUACGAAGAUAUCAAUUGUGUUAUUUGCAUUUUCAAAAGUCGUUAGUGGAGCGCGUGUGGUUAACCGGCACACUAACAUGGACUUGUGAGAAAUGGCAAAUGCCUAAGCAAUUGAGACCAUGAUUACGGUAUCCCUUUUCAUGGUUCUUGAAAUUGCUUAGACACACAGGUGAGCUAUCUACGGAAAGGGUGUAUGAAUCUAAAUUUCAGACUGUCCAGCUGAUUUCUGAGUACAUGUCAAAGCUAGUGGGAGCAUAAGUGUUAUGCUAAUAAUCAUCAUGUUAGUGGGAGCAUGAUAAUUAUGAUAAGUAUUGCAAGUUAGCAAUGUUAAUUAUAGAAAACAAAAGUUUCAAUUGGGAAAAAGUUGUUUUGCUAUAAUUAAGGGAGAGGAAAUUAUGCUUCAUCUCAAAUCUAUAAGCUUAGAUCGUGAGGUUUUAAUCAUUUAGUCAAGGAUAUAUAUGAAUUUCAUGUUGGAAUGGCUCAACAUAAGGAAAUUCUGUAUAUGGGUCCAUUAUUUGCGUUCUAAAAUUCGAUUAUGAUUACGGCAUCCCUUUUCAUAAUCUGAAUUAUGAGAACUUGGCAAAUUGAAAUGGAAAUAUUAUAGCAAAAGACUGGUUUAGUCUUUAUGUAAGACAUCAUGAAUCGUGUCCCAUAUGCUUCGGAUAUAGGAUCGAUUACAUGUGCUAUAUUCAUCCGUUCUAAAAUUUUCCAAAUGCCUGGGGCAUUAAGAAGGGAAAAGGUUUAGAACUGGAUAUGACUAAAAGGAUUAAACAAUUGUCGAGGACAAUCUAAGGUUUACCAAAGAUUGGUUACUCAAGGACAAUUGGAAGUAUAGUGAUAAUUCUGGAAGGACCAUAUUGACAUAAUCUGUAAGGAGGCAACUCUUGUUCAGAAGUGAUAGUCAAAAUGGAAUCUGGAAAUGUUUCAAAGUUAGAAUUUUCAAUCUGUGUAAGAUUAAGGAAACUUAAUGCAAGAAGGAUAUUUCCAAGGAGUUGAUCUCCUUUGGAAUACUCUGUAAUGAUUGUUGCCAAGUCUUUGUGACUUUGUGCAUAAUCAUUACAAGAGGAUCAAUGCAUAUAAGUUUAGAAUCUAACAGAUUUCAGUAAAUGGCAUGAAUUUGGAAUUCUUGCAUUUGCAGUAAGGAUUUGGGAGUGUGAAAAGAGAAUCAUUGAAGUUAUGUUCAAUUGAUCUAGUUCACAAAGUAAAGAUCAUAGACAAACAUAGUAUGCAUACUUGGUGUGUGGCAUGACUAGUGUUUAAGAAAACAUAGUGUACAUGCUUGGAGCAUGGGACAACUAUUGUUUUAAAUUCAAGAAUAAAGUUGAUAGCUGAAACAGUAUACAAUGAAUAAUGUGUAAUCAUAUGGUGAUAAAUAAAAGGUGUUUUAUUUAUGUUCAAAGGGUUGAUACCAUAUUGGAUUCAAUUAUUAUUGUGUUUCAUUUUGCAUGUUUUGACUUCCCGAAUAAACUGGGUUAUUCUUCCGGAAUGACUAAGUUAUUCAAACCAUCCACAGUCGGUCAUAUGUUGGAAGUAGAUAUGAAUUAAGACUGUCAUGGGUUGGCUUGUAGAGGUCUAAGGUGUUGGACAAAGGGCUACAACACUCAUGAGUGCUCAUAAGUUCUGAGUAUUGGAUUCAACCCGCGCUCAUUGGAAUCACUUCAUGGAUUUUAUCACGAGUGAUCAUGAGACGAUAAUAUCUUAUAUUCUUCAAACCUAGAGAUAUGAGUUGUUACUAUGAGUUGAUAGUACAUUGAUUGCACGAAAACGCAUUUGGUAACUCGGUGCUAUAAAACGUGCCUUUGUGUAUGAUUCAACAAGUAGUAGAACAAGCCAUAUGAGUCGAAGUUUAUCCAUUCCUUUUACCUUCGGGAUAAAAGCGAUAUCUGUGGGCCCCUCGAUGAUUUGAUGAUGACAAAUGGAAGUGCUCGGCCGGGCCAGGACUGAUUUGAUUUGUUCAAUUAGUCAGUCGUCAUAAAUCGGAAAUCGGGAAACAACAAAUGGACAGAGAGAAUGAUUAUAAUCCAUGUCUCAGUCCAUAUGAUAUCUAGAAUGGAGGAAUAUAUGAUCCCUUAUCUAAUGGACAAGUCAUUGACAAAGGUCAGAGUUCAUCUACAAGGUCAGAGUUCGACAGAAGCUUUUGAGAGCUACGAUUGCCAGUUGGUUCCUGAAGUCAUACGCAAUAAUAGUUUUAGACUUAUCCAAGUGGGAGACUGUUGGAUUAAUGUCUAAGUCCAUAACUAUAAUUGGUAAGACUUGACCCGACCCGGCAUGGUCCAUUUGGGUUGCAUACCAUCAUGCACUUGGAUAGACUAUAAUGAGAGAAAUAAGACACUUAUGGUUAUUAAUAUAUUAUAAGUUCUAGUAUAUUAAUAAUAAGAAUAAUAAGAUUGUUUAAUUAGUAUUGAUCAAGAAUUAAUCUAGGAUUAAUUAAGUGAUCAAAAGAAGACUAAUUAAAUAUAUGAGUUGAUUGUGUAAAUCAUCCAUACUUAUAUAGUGGGCUAAUGCUCCAUGGAUAAUCAAGUUGGGCUAAAACCCAUAGGAUGGUCCAUGGAUGCUCCAUGGUGUAUUUNAAGUCAUGACAAUUAAGGAUUUACCCUAAUUGUAACACUAUAUAAUGAUCUUAUUCUUGACAAAAAUCGGCCACUAGGAUUAUUCUAGAGAGGGCUAGCCGAUUUCAUGAAGUGUAGAACUCUCUCAAGUUAUUCUAAGUGUUUUGAUAACUGUGAUUCCAUUUGAGGCUUCCACACUAUUGGGGCUAGGCACUCAAGCUUCAUGAAGACUUUCUACAUCAAAGAGGUAUGUAUUCUAUCUUGUUAUAUUCAUGUUUUGUAUGAUAGAUUAGGAUGAUACCUUGGAUAUUCUUAUUUGCAUGUAUAAUAGAGAAAACAUAGAUCCAAGGUAUUUAGGGUUGCAUGUACACUUAGGAGUGUUAGAAUGCUCAAAACCCAACAAGGGUUUCAGUAUACUCCAUAUUGUAGAACAUUGAGAACAAUUAACCAGUGGUGAUGGAAUCGAAGUUUACCAUGGUGGGUUCAUGAGCAAGACCUAGCAGGUUGUAGAAGCGAUUCUUGGAAAUCGAGGUCUUCUCAUUGUGAAUGUCGAAGAGUAGUCUCUCAGCAACUUUGUCGUAGUAUACAGUGGAGUAGAUGUGAGAGAGGCAAGACAUGGGAACAACCUCCACCUGGGAUAGAGCGAUAACAAGUGGAUACUAUUUGAGGCACUCCACCACUUGCAUCAUGUAGGGUUCAUAGGCUGAUGACAUAAGGUCGAUAAUGAGAUUCUGGUUGGGUUUAAUGGCCAGAAGUGUUGAAUGAACAGAGGUGUCUUGAACAGAUGAGGAUUCAUCCAUUGAAGAAGCUUGAGAAAAAGACGAUGAACAGGAAAAGAAAUGGUCUUUUCCUUUAGAAGAAUUGAGAGCGGUAAAAGAGUAAAGUAGAGUGGGAGAAACCCUUUUAUACGUGAGAGAAGGAAAGAGAAAAAUCUGCCCAAAAUCUUGUCCUUUGUGAAACAGUUCCUAAUAUAGUGGGAAUUGGACGUUUGGAAACCCCGAUGAUUACGCAGGAGAGAGAAAAAUAUUUCACCUUUCCAUAGAUAUCACCUUUUUCAAAUCGACGAAACUUUUUGAUAAUUGCUGACUCAUCCAUUGUACUUUAUCUGAAACGUCACCAACAGAAAUAAAAUGAACCCUUAUCAACUUGAUUAUUUAGUUUGAAAAACAUCAUAAUGCUUUUAGAACGCAAUCCAUACGAAAAAUAGAACAAUAUUUUUGGAAAAUCAAAGAUUUUCGUCCAUAGAGUGUGAAUGAAAAAGAAAUAAAUCGAACUUUAUGGGAUAUUGUGAUGUCGAUUAAGACAUGAAACAGUGGAUCCCGGGCACGAAUCUCUUCCUUUCAAUUCAAAAGAGACUUCAAAGUGUCUGUGAGGUUUCCCGUCAGAAUAUGAUCAAGUGCCUUUUAAGAGGCAAUGAAAGGCAUCUUUUAUAUAUUAGGCUUGUAUGGGUGGCUUUUGCUUCAAUUCAAGUUUCAGUUCUUAAUAUAAGACCGAAAGAGAAAGAAUACUUGUGAGACCAAUGUGGCCUAUUGAACAAGUAGGUUUAACAUGUAUCCAGUGGCUGUUGAAAAUAAGAAAUCUCAAAACAAAAUAAAACUGGAUCCUUGGGGAAGAAAAGUCUUGGUGAUAGACAAUUUCAAAAGGAUCACUCAAAAUAAAAUGAGGUUCGAUUGGUGAAAGGUAGAACAUAGUAAUUGUUCACUAUCAAUGCAUUAUGGGUAGUGAAUUGUGGGUUUCACUUAGUACCUAGUAACACGAGACUAAGAUCAUAAACACAGAGUGUUGUGUAACCAUAAACCUCAAUGGUAGGAGCUAAGAGUCUCAAGGGUUACAUGAAUGAUAUGAAGUGAGAUGGAGAAAAAUGAUGUAGGUUGUUUAAGAAGCGAAUGUACAUCUGUUAUAAAAGUAGGACCAAGCAGAAAACUCUAAACUCAACAUGAGAAGAGUAAGGUAGCUUACGAUUAGAGAGAAUGUAACAGCCUAAUUGGGAAAACAUGAGUUGUAUAUAUCACAUUAUUAAGGCUUCACUCAAAAUCUAGAGAGGCUUUGUUCAACAUGCAGCAGCAUGCAUCUAGGGACACUUAACUAAUCUAUAUAAAACAAUUUAUACUUGAUUCAGCUCCAUCACUGAGAGUAACUUUUAGACAAAGAAAAACAAAAGAAAAAUGAAAUAAAUAGAGAAUCUUUUUGUAUUUUGUGAAAAAUUUCGAAAGAAAGAGAAAUAAGAACAAAAGGAAAAUUAUUUUGGAGUUAAUGAAAAUAAAAGAAAUUAAAAGAAAAGCAUAAAAAUGAGUAUGUAAAACAAAUGUACAAAUGAAUACAACCAAAAUACCUUUUAGUGAAAAAGAAGUGAACUGAGUGCAGCAGGACUGAACCUGAAAUAGACCGAGCGUUCGGUUCAUUUCGGUUCCCGUGUACCACUAUUGGGUUUUGAGCAAUCUAACACUUCCUAAGUGUGCAUGCAACCCUAAUAAACCUUGGAUCUAUGUUUGUCUAAUACAUGCAAAAUAAUAAUUUUUCCAAGGUUCAUAACUUAUCUAACAUGGCAUGGGGAACUUUUAAACAUAAAAGAGUUAGAUGAGAUUACAUACCUUUUGAUGAGAUUGAUUCCUUGGAGUUUGAGAGCCAAGCACCAAUAGUGUGAAUGCCUCAAAUGGAAAUCACAAAUCACCACAAACACUUGGAAACCUUUAGAGAGUGUACACACACUUGAAAUUUUCGGCCACACACAAGCACACACACUAGUGGCUAUUUCAUGCAACAUAAGCAUGCUUAUAUAGUGUACAUGGUUAGGGUGAAACCCUAAUAACCCAUGACCUUUCCUUUUCCAAGGAUCCAUGGGUUAAAAGCUCCAUGGAUCAUCCAUGGACUUCCAUAUAAGCCUAGCCCAUUAACAAAUGAGUGUUAGCCCACACCAUAUAAAACCAAUAGCCCAUAAUCUAAUUAGUCUUCCUUUUAAUCUCUAAAUUAAUGCAUAAUUAAUCUAAGACUAAGACUAAUUAAAUAACAUAACUUCGUAUUAAUAUAUUAUAACUUAUAAUAUAUUAAUAAACAUAUGUGUAUAACUCUCAUAAAAUUAUCCAUAAAUAGUUCGGGUGAAGUGCAACCCAAAUGGACCAUGCCAGGUCGGGUCAAGUAUAUACCAAAUAAGUUAUGGACUUAGACACCUUAUCCAACAAAACGAACCUGAAAUAGACCAAGCGUUCGCUCUAUUUCGCUUCUAACCUUUAAUGAAGCAAAGGAGAUUUCGGUACUGAUUCAGCUUCCAUCAUUCCCAGGCCUUGAAGGAUCUUAUUGAAACUUGCUUCAUGUAAGGCCUUAGUAAAGAUGUCUGCUAAUGGAUCAGUGGUUCUGACGAAAUGAAUUUCUACGUUACUGUCUUUCACAAGAUCUUUGAUGAAGUGAUAUCGCAGUGCGAUGUGCUUUGUCUUUGAGUGUUGCACUGGGUUAUGACAAAUCCUAAUUUCACUUUCUGAGUCACAAUAUAGUGGGAUUUUCUUCAUGUUUAGCCCAUAGUCUCUAAGAUGACUUUGUAUCCAAAUGACUUGAGAUGUGCAUGAGGCGGCAACAAUAUAUUCAGCUUCAGCUGUGGAGAGCGAAACACAGGUGUGUGCCUUUGAUUUCCAGCUAUCUAAUUUGCCAUCAAGAAGUUGGCAUCCUCAAGUAGUGCUUUUGCGAUCCAAUCCACAACCCCUAGGCCAGCAUCUGAGAUUGCUUGGACAAAAAAUCAUGAGUUGGCUAGAUACCAUAGACCGAGAGAGGAGGUUCGGUUUAGAUAGCGAACGAUGUUCUUCACUGCCAGCGUGUGAGGUUCUCAUGGGUUGGCUUGAAAUCGAGCAUAAUAUCAGACUGAGAACAUAAUGUCCGGCCUGCUGGCUGUAAGAUACAUCAGUGAUCCAAUCAUCUGACGAUAAAGCGUCAUGUCAGGAGUCGGUUUGUGUAAUGAUGGUGUCAGCUUGGUUCCAAACGCCAUAGGAACAUUCACCAUUGAAUCGAAUAACAUCCCAAACUUGGAAAGUAAUGUCUUUGUGUAUGCCUCCUGAUUGAUAAAAAUGCCUUCGGGUCCCUGUCUAAUAUUUAAGCCAAGGAAAAAGUUAAUUGGACCCAUUGAGCUCAUCUCAAAUUUAGUUUCCAUCAACUUCCUGAAUUCAACUGUUAGGCUGGGAUUCGUGGAGCCGAAGAUGAUGUUAUCAACAUAAAUUUGGACUAUUAUAAGGUGGUUAACCUCUCUCUUACGAAAGAAGGUUGGGUCAACUGAACCUUGUUUAAAUUUGGACAUUUUUAAGAAUCGAGUGAGGCUUUCAUACUAUGCUCUGGGAGCCUGCUUCAGACCAGAUACUGCUUUGUCCAAAAUAUAGCAGUGAUCUAGAUGCUUCUCGUUCAUGAAGCCAGGCAAUUGCUCUACGUACAUAGUUUCUUCAAGUUCCCCGUUGAGAAAGGCCCACUUCACGUCCAUUUGAUAGACUUCAAAAUUCUUGUGUACAUCAUCAGCAAGAAAGAUUCGAACUGAUUCUAAUCUUGCAACUGGACCGAAGGUCUGUUGAUAAUUUGUACCUUUCUCUUAACAGUAUCCUUUCACCAUCAACCGGACCUUGUUGUGAAUCACAUUCCCUUCCUUGUCCAUCUUAUUUCUGAAUACCCAUUUGAGACCGACAACCGAAGCAUCUUUUGGAGUUGGAAUUAGACACCAUACUUUGUUUCUUUCAAACUGGUUCAGCUCUUCUUGCAUGGCUUGAACCCAAUCAGAAUGAUCAAGAGAGUUGAAUUCAUCAUCUCCGGUUCAACUUUGGAGGCGAAAGAGUUGAACAUGCAAAAUUAUACUUGAUUGAAUAAUGCAACUUGCUUCGCUUUCAACUGUGAUCGAGUUAAUACCUUUACAAACGAUUCCUCAAUGAUUUGACUUUGAAGAUGAUAUUUGGUCCAUUUAAUGAGAGGAGGGUAAUUUGUAUCACAAGUGGGAUCUAGUUCUGCAUUGAUUUCUUCUUCAAAUAAUGAUUGUGUAUCAUCAUCAUUAGCAUUUGUAUUCUCCCCCUCGAAUGAUGACACGAGUUCAAUUUCUAGAUCAGAACCCUCCCCUUCAUUUUGACUUUCGGUUGAACUUGAUGAUUGUGAUGAUGGAUUCUGCCCUUGAAAUGAUGAAACCUGAUUAUUUGGUGGAGACGAACCCUCCCCCUAGAUAGAAGGACAAUCACCAGAUGGUUCGCUUGAGUCUAGCCUUUUAGUUGCCUUUGGUUGUUCAACUGCCAUCUUCUGUGGAACAUCAUCAAUAAUUUGCUUCAAACUGUCAACUCGGUUAUCUUCAGCCUUGGAUUUAGAAUCAAUAGCUUUUUCUGGUUGAUUGAAGAGUAGCAUAUAUUGCUCGGAAAGAUUUCAAAUCAGCACAGUAACUUGACUAGACUUUGGAAAGAUUUCAUGCACUGCACCUUCAGUUGUUUUCAACUUCUUGACAUAACUGUCAUCGAAAGUGGCAUAAUAUGUUUCUUCAAUCUUCUUUGAGCGUUUAUUCAGAACUCUAUACGCCUUAGAGUUCAAGGAGUAGCCCAGAAAUAUCCCUUCAUCGGCCUUAGCAUCAAACUUGUUUCGAUUCUCAUUUGAGUUGAAAAUGAAGCAUCUUGAACCGAACACGUGAAAGAACUUCACAUUAGGCUUGCGGUUGUUCAAGAUCUCAUAGGGAGUGAUUAAGAAGCGCUUGUUUAGAUACGAUCUAUUCCGAGUGUAACAAGCAGCAACAAUAGCAUCAACCCAGAAAUAUAAAGGCAAGGAAGCGAAGCUCAGCAUAGUUCGAGCUGCUUCGCACAGAGAACGAUUUCGCCUUUCGACGAUUCCAUUCUGAUGUGGAGUAUAUGGAGCAGGAAAAAUUGUGAGUCAUUCCCUUCUCAACUAGAAAAUCUUCAAGAUCCUUGUUCAAGAAUUCUAAGCCGUUGUCGGUUCUUACGUUACAAACCACUUUUCGUAGUUGAAACUCUACUUGCUUUGUGAAGAGUUUGAGCUUGGGAGUUGUUUCUGAUUUUUGAUUCAAGAAAAAUACCCAUGUCAAGCGAGAGAAGUCGUCUACGAUGACAAGUAUGUACUUGUUUCCACCAAUGCUUUCUAUAGAGGAAGGACCACAUAGAUCGAUAUGUAACAGCUCUAAUGGUUCUAUCACCUUUGUGUUAAUAAUAGAAGGAUGGCUUUUUCGACUUUGCUUUCCCAUUUCACAAGCUGCACAUAGAUGUUCUUUGUCAAAUUUGAGAAUUGGAAGGCCUCGAACGUGAUCUACAAGUACCAGCUUGUUAAUAUAUUUGAAAUUUAGAUGAGAGAGCCUUCGAUGCCAUAGCCAGCUUAUGUCUGAGUGUGCCUUCGUUAGCAAGCAAACAAAUGGUUUCCCUCUAAUUGGAUUGAAAUUUAAAGGGUACAUUUCUCCCUUUUGCUUCGACUUCAGCAAAAUAUGAUUUCACUUCUUUUCAACAAUCUCUGAGCCUUCGUCAUCAAAGGAGACCUUCAAUCCGGUGCCAACCACCAGCUGUGAGACACUGAUGAGGUUGUGCUACAAUCCUUCAACGUAUGCAACCUUUCUGAUUGAGAAGUCGCCAUUUGUAAUCAUUCCAUAGCCUUUGAUAGUUCCAAAUGAAUUAUUGCCAUACUUCACCGUUCCACCAUCCUUGAGAGACCGAAACUCCCUCAGUUCUUCCCUUCUUCCUGUCAUGUGACGCGAGCAGCCAUUAUCAAUGUACCAUUCUUCGUCAAACUGCUCGUCACGAAUAACCUACAAAAUAAGUAGAUUUAGGAACCUAAAGUUUAUUGGGUCUUUGUGAGCCUUUUACAGGAGAUGGAAUAGUAAGAGAAACAUCAACCAGAAAAGUUCUUUUUAUUACAGUUGUUUCAUCUUUUCUUUUUAUUGUAAAAACUUUGAUUUUGUUUGACCUAGACUCAUUUGAUUUAGACGGAGGAUUUGUGGUGUUGAUGUCUGCAUACUUUUGGGUCUCUUUUGGGCAUCUAUCGUCUUCUAGAAAGAGCUUUCCUUUCCCUUUUGAAUCUUUAGACGAGUGAGAAUUAGAAUAAGAAUGAGAAGAAUGAGGUUUAGAAGCAAGAUUAGAUCGUUGAUUAUUGCUCUUCCUUGAUUGAGUAUGAAGAAUUUAUUCCCUUCGGUUCUUCUGAUAAUUGGAUUUGGGACUGAACCCAUCCUUUAGGUUGCUUACAAGUUCAGGACCAAAACCUUCCUUUCGGUUGUGUACAUGUUGUGGACCAAAACCUUCCUUUCGGUUGCUUACAUGUUGAGGACCGAAACCUUCCUUUCGGUUGCUAUUGCCAUGAGGACCGAAGUUUCCAUUUUGGUUGCUUACAUUCUGAUGCCCGAAACUCUCCUUUCUGUUGGCUCUUGGUUCUCCUCGUUACUUAUUUGUCUUUUCAUACCUAAUGUAAUGAGGAUUCGGGGAUCGCCAAAACUGUUUUCUUUCAGAGAGAUUCUUCUUGUAUCUUAGUUUACGUUGGUGUUUUCGUUCUUCCACCUGUUUUGGACUUUUAUGAAUAUUGUCCUUUUUCUUUAGUACUUGAUCAUGGCUUUCGCUCUUUGACGAACAUGUCUCACUGGAUGCUAUCACUAGUUCGCCUGAAGAUGUUUUGGUGCCGCUUGGUGCCUACUCUUCACUCUCCAUGAGGUUUUCUAAGAUAGACCUUCUGUUUCAUCAGCGUUAUCUAUCGGUGCUGACCAGAAAAACUCCUCACAUCCAUUAGCAUUAUGUUCUUCUACCAAUGUUGUCAGUUCUGCAGGUUGUUGAGGUGUGACUCCUUGAACUGAGUAAACUUGAUUUGGAGUUGUUUGAACCUUUUGAUAUUCAACAACUUUUGCCUUGAGGACUUUGGUCUUGUCUAUCGAUGAGCGAGGAAACUCAAUAGAGUUUUCAAAAAUAAGAUUUUUACUUGUAUCGGGUUCGCUCUUGACAAAAUCAGAACAAUCCACCACAUCCUCUACAGAGAUUUCAAUCAUGUCAUCAUCCUCAUUAAGUUCAGAUGCAUUUUCAACUUUAAUUUUACUUUAUGAACUAAAUUUCGCAUUCAACGAGUCAAACUUCAGUAAAGUUUUGGUUCUCAGUUUCAAUUUAUCAUUUUCAUCUAACGGAUUUUUGAGCAUGUCCUUAUGGUCUUCUGACUUUAUGUAGGACUCUAUUUUGUCAAGACCAAUUUUGUAGGCAAGAGAUAUUUCAUCGGAAGAUACAACAUUUUCAUAGUUGUAAGCUUCGACAUUGACUUCAUCCUCCUUCAACUCAAGGAAGGGUAAAAUCAUGUGAUGCAUCUUCUUUAUGUUGUAUUAGUGUCUAAGUCCAUAACCAUUUUGGUAUGUACUUGACCCGAUGGUGCAUGGUCCUUUUGGGUUGCCUUCACCAAAGCAACAUGAUAGGAUGAAUUAUGGAGAGAAAGGAUUAAUUAUGAUUUAUUAAUAUAUUAUGAGAAUAAUAUAUUAAAGGAAAAACCAUAUUGUUUAAUUAAUAUUAGUCAAGAAUUAACAAGAAUUAAGUUUAUGGCUAAAAGACAUGAAUUAAACUUAUGGGACUAGAACUUUCAAUUGUGUGAUAGUUGAAUAUUGGGCUGAUGUACUCCAUAUUAGAGGGGUGGACGAAUUCUAUGGGGAAACCCAUUAGAAAUCGUCCUAGGCCUCUAAGGAGGGAGUCCAUGGGUUGCUUAGGGUCUAAGCAUCCAAAUUAGGGUUUCCUUGUUAGAUAACCCUAAUAGCCUCACUAUAAAAAGGACCCUUGAGACUCAAAAAGGUGGUGGACUUGUUCCUUAGGGUUUCCACACAUUUUGGGCAGCCUCCUCUCUCCUUAUCCUUCAUCCUCUUGGUCUUGGUGUUUGUGAACCAUUAGAGGAGUGACACUUGUGACUCUAAGCUUUCUAAAUUCAUUACAAGGAGGAUUUGAGAUUGUUAUUGCUACAUAACAAUCAAGGUAAGAUCUAAGACCCCAUUCAUAAGUUAAUAUGAUUAAUUAUAUGAUAGAUCUAGGGUUUAAUGUCUUGGAUGAAUUGCAUGUAUAAUAGAGAAACCUAGAUCCAAGCAUUAGGGUUUGCAUGAGCACAUAGGAUGUUGUAAUGGCCAAAACCCAUCAGUGGUAUCAGAGCCUUGAUUGGUUUCUAUUUUAUUGAUGCCUAGCAUAUUCAAUCUUGUUGCAAAAUCGAUUUUUUGGCUCCCUGACUGCUGAAUUCGGCGAGUUCCAAUAUGGAGUCGGCGAGUUGGCUCCAACUCGGCGAGUCCAUAGAGGAACUCGACGUGUUCGAGCGUCAAAAGGAGGCAGUUUCGGGAUUUCUUGCUGUUUUACUCAUGGAUACUUGCCUUAACUGUUUUGGGUCAUUAAAAUCUGAUUUUAAACAUAUUUUUGAGUAUAUCCUUGAUUAAACAAAAGAUAAUUACCAAUUGAUUAGAUAAUAACUUCCUUAUACGAUUAAAUUUUGAUUAUUUGUAUUAAUUGGGGAACUUAUCUGGCAAGAAAUUGAUUUUAGGUCAAAUUUAGAUAAUCAUUAACUUAAUAGUUUAAUUUAAAUUAUUUGCUAUUUGAUCCUUUGUGUUUUGAAAAGUUUCAAACUUGCCCUCAAGUCUUGGAAUUUAAAUUUUUGAUUAAAAAGUUUGAUACUGAAAUAUUUAAAUUCUAAACCCUAAUGUUUUGAAGUGUUUCAAAACUUGGCCUCAAGUUUUGGAAUUUAAAAGUUGAUUAAAAGUUUAAUUUAGAAAAGUUAAAUUCUAAAAAUCCUAGUAUUGUUUUGAAAAGUUCAUAUCACACCCUUAUGGUUUUAUUAAUUAAUUAAAGUGUAUAAUUAUUAAAUUUGACCACCUAAUAUUUUAAAAGUGUAAAAUACACCCUAUACUAUAUAUAACAUUAAGAGUCUAAUAUUAUAUAUAUGUAUGAGUAAAAGUCAGUCUUACGGUUAGUAGGCCUCAUUCACGAAGCUGGUCUAUAAGGGGUGUUUAAGGAAAUUGCCUAUAAAAUGGCGAUUGAAUGGGUAUCCACUCUUACCCACCGCACUCUUGACUAGUGGAGGGUCGUUAGCCGAACGGGUAGGAUAGGACGAAACCUUCCAUUAUAAGUAUAAUGAAUUAUUAAAGUAACUAAAUGUUUUCAUAAAAUUCCCAAUCUUAGUUACUUAGGCAAAAGUGAAUUGAUGCAAUUCCAUGAAAUUACACUUUGUGCCCUUGCGAAGACGUUAGUGGAGCGUGUGUGGUUAACCGGCACACUAAAUGGUUCUAAGCAAAGGUAGCAAAGGGUGACUCAAUGUUUGUCAUAGUUCGGUGGAGCGUGUGUGGUUAACCGGCGCAUCGAAUAGGUGACUGUAACAUGUGGGGGCACCAUGUAAGUUUGCAUGGUUAUUCACACCUGCUUUGUGAUCCUCGGUAUCCCAGUCACAAACUAGAGCGGCAUGUUGAGAUUUAAACAUGCCAUUGAAAAGUUCAAUGUAUCUCAAAAGAUCUACGAAUUUUCAACAGAUUUAAAACUUAAAUUUAUUUUUCGUUUUUCAUGGUGGAAAUUAGUGAAUCGUCAUUCACUUACCUUCAAAUAUUCUGCAACUAGAUUACGGCAACCCUUUUCUAGGUUGUAGCGUAUUGUGUUGGGUCCUAGCCUUGGAAUUUCAUUUGGGUGAUCUACCAAGGACUCAAUCUAUCAACUAACUUGAAUUCNNNNNNNUUUUGUAGAUGUCAAAGUAUGACAACUAUGGUCUUCCCAAAUCCCGUGGAACAAGCUUUUCACAUGAAGAUGAUAUUCCACGAUUCGAUCGAGGAACACGAGAUCAUGCUUCACUUCCUCCACCUCCUCCUAUUAUUCUCCCUAACCCACGAGUUCAUAAGAUUGAAAAAUUCAAACUCACUCAAGCCCUUUUGGCCAGAAAACAUGUAGAAGGAAAGUCAGUAUGUGCACACGUCCUAGAGAUGAAGUCACACAUUUUUAGGUUAAGAAUGUUGGGAUCUGUUGUCUGUGAGGAGCUGGCUAUUGAUUGGGUUCUUCAGUCACUUCCUUACUCAUAUAGUGAGUUCGUAAGAGAGUACUACAUGAUAAGCCACGAUGUAACCCUCAUUAAUCUCACCUAUAUGCUUACUGCUGCUGAAUCGACAAUGAUUUGGCGCACUGGGAAAGCAAAGUUGAUUGGUGGAUCUGCCUUCCAGACCUCUAUGGAUAUAGGCAAUGGCAACGAAAGGCAUUUCAUAAUCGAAAAGUUUGAUCAUAAGAGAAAGGCAAAGUCAGAAGUAGUUCCGUGUGCUGUUCCAAAAGAGUCAAUUUGCUUUUAUUGCCAAGAGAAGGGGCAUUGGAGACGAAGCUGCCCUAUUUACCUAAGAGAUCUAAGAGAUGGGAGAGUCAAAACGUAUGGCUCUGCUUUAGGUAAAAUCCAUUAACUAACUCUUUUAAGCUCCUAUUCUAGAUUCUUAAUACAUGAUGUGAUAAGAUUACAUUUCGAUGUUUUGUAGGAUCGAAGAAAAGAGAGGAAGCUUAAGGGAAGAAGUGAGCGAAAUCUAAUCGUGAAGAAAUGGAUUUCGAUCGCAUUACUUGAAGAUUAGAUUCUUGAGCUACUACUUGGAGUUAGAAUAAGAUUACUAAGAAAUAUGUAUUAGCAUAGUUUUUGAAUGAAUUGCAUUUUAAGGACAAAUUCUUCCGCAAUAAAUUAAAAUUUGAUUUUAUAUUAUUUAUUUAUCCUUGCAAUGGCNAUAAAAUAAAUUUUGAUUUUAUACUAUUUAUUUAUUCUUGCAAUGGCGUGUAUGAAAAAAAUGAUGUUUGAAUGCAAUAAUGGAUUUGAUUCUUAAUUAUGUUAUUUGUGGAAAUUUUGAGAAUUUACCAAACAGGGAGAGUUUCUCAUCGCCCAAGUUUCAAUUGGAUAGAAACUUGGAAUCAUGCAACUUGAUUGCAUGAUGAAUGACAAAUUUCAUGUUUGGAAAUUAGACUAAUUCAUUGACAAAGUGUCAAGUGAAGGGAUAGGAGAUUGAAUACACAAAGUUGUGUGUUGAUCAAGUCCACCACAAGGGUAACAAAGAUAUUCAUCAUGAUUUACUAAAGGUUUAGUGAAUAUGGUUAUACUUAUAAGAUUGAGUAUAAUUCUGAAUUGAUUGAAAGAGUUUCAAUCACUACCAGAACGAAUAAGAAGAAUCAAGUAGGCAUAAAGAUAAAAGUUUCUCUAUUCUAAGAAGAAGGGAGAGUACCUUUUAUUAUGUUUUAUGAUAAGUCAUUAUGAUUAAGAACCAUAUCUCAAUUGAUCCUCUAAGUGAGUCUUAGUACAAUUGUAUGUCUAUGAAAAGGAAUCAAGAAUUGAAGAAAUGGUUAAAUCAAGAAGUCAAUCAUACUUCGUUCCAAAACAAGUCUUAGAGUUAAGAUUGUGACAUUGAGUGACAAGUCUUAAGAAGGUUUAUAACAUUUAUCAAACGUAGAAUUUGGAAAAAAGGUUUUCUUAUUCUUGCAGAUUUGAAAUUGGUAAGUUGUGAUGUCUUGGAUUAGACAAAACCAACGAGGACCAAUUUGUGAAUUGUUUCGUCAUGAUAAAAGCUACACUAACUCUUGAAUAUUUGUUUGUCAAGAAAUGUUUAUUGACAAGAGAAUCUUAUAUGUCAAGGAGUCAGUGGGAGUCUUAAUGGUCUUGAAAAUUUUCGAGAACUACUCAAGAAUAAACCCUAUCGAUCAUCACUAGCACACGACUUGAGGUUUACAACCUAUCGUUUUGACACUAUCUUGUUUCUAUUUCGUUCCGAUUGAGUUAGUUAUGCAUGCAAGUUCUAUGAGUUCUCAUUUGAACGCAUAAAAGGCAAGCACCUUGAUCAAUGAAAAGUACAUUGAUAAGAAUGGGUGAGGUGCUUAACUACUUGGAAGACAUGGUGGGCAGCCGUGUUACCAUAAGGCAAGAAAUCAAGAUUGAGAAGGUGAGGUCCAUAUGAGUUUGAAUUUGUCGUAAACUUUGGUUUUGACAAAUUCACAAGGGUAGGAACACAUACACCAUUAAAAUCUGAGUGUCAUAAGAUUUCCACCUUCAUGAAAAUGACUGUGAGGAAAUGCUUUCACUAAGAGAGAUUUUAAGAAGAUAGUGAUUGUGAAAAUUGGAUUCUCAAAUUUGAUUAUGGUUAUGGUAUCCCCUUCCAUGAUUCGAAUUGUGAGAUUUGGCAAUUAGUCUGAAUUGUUUAGACACACAUCUAAACUAUCUAAGGCAAAGGUGUAUAAGUUUGAGAAGCUUAGAUAAAGGAUUAUCAAAGCAUUAGAAAUAUGAACUUAAGAAAUUCAAUAGGAAUUGUUUUCUGGAAGUGAAGCUGUUUCUGAAUACAUGUCAAAGCUAGUGGGAGCAUAAGAGUUAUGCUUAUAUGACAAUAAUCAUCAUGAUAGUGGGAGCAUAAAUGUUGUGCUUGUAUGAUUAUUAAGGUAAAUAUUGCAAGUUAGCAAUAUUAAUUAUAGAAAACAAGAGUUAUACCUUGCAAAGUCGUAAGCAUUGAAAAGUUGUUUUGCUAUAAUUAAGGGAGAGAAUAUUAUGCUUCAUUUCAAAUCUAAAGGCUUAGGUUGUGGAAUGUUAAUAAAUUUAUUCAAGGAUACAUAGUGCGUUCUUAAAUUUCGAUUAUGAUCAUGGCAUCCCUCUUCAUAGUUCGAAUUGUGAGAACGUGACACAUUAAAUAUUAUGGCAGAAGAUUGAUAAAGUAUCGUAUCUUUAUGUAAGACAUUAUACAUCGUGUCCCAUACGCUUCGGGUAUAGGAUUGAUUGCAAAUGCUAUAAUAUUUAACCAUUCUAAAAUUUUCCAAAUGUCUAGCGCAGUUAGAGGGAAAAAGGACAAGAAUCGGUUUUGACUAAGAUAAUUAAACAACUAUCAAAGGACGAUCCAAAGCUCGCUGAGGAUUGGUCGCUCGUGAGUAGUUGGAAGUAUGAUAUUGGAUGGACCAUAUCGACAUUAUUAUGAAUAGAUAAGAUUCUAUUAAGAAUGAGUUGUCAUAUGGCAAAUAUGGAAAUGUUUCCAUAUUGGGAGUUGGAUAUUGAGAGUCUAUGUCUAGAUUAGAAAAUUUUAUGCAAAAGGAUGUUCAAAGGAAUGUACUUUGAGUGAGAGACAUCAUGUUUGUGGAAUUGUAUUGUAACAAUCUCAAAUAGAGAACUUUGUAAUUUCAUUGACAAUAGUCAUUGUGAUUUUUGUGCUAUGACAAUACGAAAGGAUCAUUGCAUGAAAUGUUAGAAUCUAGCAUAUUCUAUAAGUAGCAAGAAUUUGAUAUUCUUAAAGUUAUGUUAGCGAUUGGGAGUUGUGAAAUGAGUGUGAUUGGAAAUGUGUUCAUUUGACCUAUUUCACAAAGUAAGGACCGUACGUAAACAUUGUGUGCAUGCUGAGAGCAUGGGACAAGUAUAGUUAUAAUUCAAGUUAGAAGUUGAUUACCCGAAACAACAAAUAAUGAGUAAUCGAUAUGGUGAUAAAUAAAAGGUGUUUUAUUUAUACUCAAAGGUUUGAGGCCAUAUGUGAUUAGUAUUAUUCUUGUGUUUCACUUUGCAUGUUUUGACUUCCUGAAUAAUUUAAUUGAUUCAGAACAGUCAAAUUAUUCGAACGGGCCAUAGUCGUUCAUAUGUUGGAAGUAGGUAUGAAUGAAGACUGUCGUGAAUUGGUGUGUGGAUUGUCUAAAGUGUAUUAGACAUAAGCAAAUGUUUGCUUCAAUGUUCAUGAGUGCUUAUGAAUAUGAUUUGAGCAUUGGAUUAAACCCACACUCACUUGGAUCACUUCAUGGAUUUUAUCACGAGUGAUUGGUGAGACGAUAACAUCUUAUAUUCUUGAAACCGAGAUGUGCGAGUUGUAUCUUGCGAGUCGGUUGCACAUUGAUAAUAAGUAAACACAACAAUAACUGGGUGUUAUAAAACACAUUGUUGUGUGUGAUUUGGUAAGUGAGUGCAAGCAAGCCUUCAAUCAAAGUUUAUAUGUUCCUUUUAUCCAAAGUAUGAUAAAAGCGAUAUCUUUGGGCCCCUCGAUGAUUUAGUGAUGGCAUCUAAGCGCUUGGCAACGGAUUUGGAAAGGUACAAUUGCAGAUCAGGAUCUGAAGUCAUAUGUAGAAUAGUUAUCAGACUUAUCUAAGUGCGAGACUGUUGGAUUUGUGUCUCAGUCCAUAACCAUUUUGGUAUGUACUUGACCCGAUGGUGCAUGGUCCUUUUGGGUUGCCUUCACCAAAGCAAAUUGAUAGGAUGAAUUAUGGAGAGAAAGGAUUAAUUAUGAUUUAUUAAUAUAUUAUGAGAAUAAUAUAUUAAAGGAGAAAUCAUAUUGUUUAAUUAAUAUUCGUCAAGAAUUAAUAAUAAUAAAGUUUGUGGCUAAAAGACAUUAAUUAAACUUAAGGGACUAGAACUGUCAAUUGUGUGAUAGUUGAUUAAUUGGCUAUUGGACUCCAUAUUAGAGGGGUGGACGAAUUCUAUAGGGAAACCCAUUAGAAAUCGUCCUAGGCCUCUAAGGAGGGAGUCCAUGGGUUGCUUAGGGCCUAAGCAUCCAAAUUAGGGUAUCCUUGUUAGAUAACCCUAAUAGCCUCACUAUAAAAAGGACCCUUGAGACUAAAAAAGGUGGUGGACUUCUUCCUUAGGGUUUCCACACAUUUUGGGCAGCCUCCUCUCUCCUUAUUCUUCAUCCUCUUGGUCUUGGUGUUUGUGAACCAUUAGAGGAGUGACAUUUGUGACUCUAAGCUUUCUAAAGUCAUUACAAAGAGGAUUUGAGAUUGUUAUUACUACAUCAAAAUCAAGGUAAGAUCUAAGACCCCAUUCAUAAGAUAAUAUGAUUAAUUGUAUGCUAGAUCUAGGGUUUAAAGUCUUGGAUGAAUUGCAUGUACAAUAGAGAAACCUAGAUCCAAGCAUUAGGGUUUGCAUGAGCACAUAGGAUGUUCUAAUGUCCAAAACCCAUCACUUUCCUAUUUCACAAUCGAGAUGUAACUAAGUGAUAUUAAAAUAUAGUCUUUUCGAAAUCAAACAAAAAACAUUUUGUUGUUUUAAAAGCUUAAGAUUGUCUUGUUGCAAAUAGAUUGACUCAUCCCUAGACCUAAUUAAUUCGUUCUCCUUCUGCUCAAUCCAGAUUCUCAUCUCCUCACUCUUCGACGAUAUCCUUCUAAUUUGAGCAGUUAGGUUAGAGUUUGUGACACGAGUUUGGGUAACACUACUACUUAAACUGGUAAAUUUAGAUUUUAAGCCAUUCAGUUCCUUUCCAUAGUCAGUAAUAGGAAUUUUCAGAGAAGUUAGAAUAUUUUGUACCUUCUUGAUCAACUCAUCACACUCGUUGAUCUGUGCACUGAUAGGUUUCGCAGCGAAACAUCUGUCCUCUCGCUCCUUCUCGUCAUCCAUCCCACCAUCUGUUGUGUAUCAUCGCAUCUGUGAUACACCUUCCAUCACCAGCAAACAUCUUCCCUCAAACCUUUUCUUCUUUCACCAGCAGAGCCUUGCCAUGAGUGGGCUUUCUUACUUCUUCGUCCUCUGAAUCUGUGGAACACACCUAUACUCCACCAAAUUCAUCAUUAUCACAUGUAUCCUGUACAAUCAAACUAUUCAUGUUCUUAUUUUUAGCUGUUGAUUUCUUUUUCUUGAUCUCCUCCAAUCGUCUCAGGAGGUUCUCUUCCUCAUUGUUUUCAUCAACUCUUUCAGACUUCUUCUUCAGCAUACAGUCUUUGGCAAAGUGGUUCUUGCCUCCACAAUAAUGAUAGUCAAAACCAGAAUCACCACCAAUCUUUGUUUCCUUCUUAGAUUCUACAGACUCUGAACCUAUCUUUGGUUCCUCCUUCACUUUUUCAGAACAAUAACUUCCCUGCCAGUUUCGGUUCUUGUUGGCGGGUAACUUCCUUUUGAUAAACUUUCUUGGAUUGGAAACUAUCAGGGCAUACUUUUCACCAAUUAGAUCAUAGUCAGCAAGAUCUAGUUCUUCUUCUUCUUCUUCUUCAACAACACUCUUUCCUUUGGAGAUAAGAGCUAAUGAACCUAUGCUGGAAACCACAUUUAUUUCCUUUGAAACCGCACUUUCAUGGGACUUCAGAAUUCCCACCAGCUUCACCAGAGAGUAGGAUUUGAAUUGUUCAUGUGCCUUCACUGUGGACACAACUGCCAUCCAUUCGGGUCUAAGACCGUUCAUGAAGGUAACCUUCUACUCAAUAACCUUCCUUUCGAUCCCAUGCUUUAUCAUCUGACUGAGGAGAUGAUUAAACCGAUCAAAGGCCUGAAUGAGUUUCUCUUCGGGCUUCUGUUUGAAAUCACCAAAUUCAAAAAGCAGCAAGGUUUGAAUCGAAUGUUCCAGAUCGUCAUUAGUAGAAUACAAUUCCUUUAACAUAUCCCAUAUCUCUUUUGUUGUAUCACAUGAACUCACCAAUCAAAACGCGUUCGAUUGUAAAGCAAACCUAAUCUUUCUUAAGGCUUUAAUGUUGCACUGAAACUUCUCUUUCUCGUCUUGAGGAAUGUCUUUCACAUCAUUCACGCGCUGAUUGUACUCCUUUUGAGUUUUGACAAUCUUUCAAGUGCUUGAGUGAGCAAACGGACCAACUGUGAUUGCUUCCCAGAUCAAGUACCCAUUAUCCUCUGUAUUGAUUACAUAAUCUUUGAAGUCGUGCAUCCAGACUUCAUAAUCCUAAGUAUAUAGGAUUGGAAUCCUUGUUGUUGAUCCAAUACUGUAGGAGAUGUUGAUUGGAUUGGAUUGCGAAUUAUCCAUAGACAUUGUGAUGAUGUUUGAUCGAUAAUCUAUUUAAGAUCAGACUUGUAAUUUAUCGUUAGGGCAAGAUCAACAAUUAAUGAGAUACACCAAUUAGGAAUGACGGCUCAAUUAAUAUCAUUCAAUGCGGAAAACCCUAAUAACUUCUUCAACAGAAGAGAUGUGUAUGAAUUACACAGCAUCCUGCUCUGAUACCAAUUGAUGAGAUAAAAUCUCUUGGUUGGUAAGAUCUUUCAUAGGUAUAUUAAUGAAGAACAAACUAUUAAAUCAAACAAGGCAAAGAACACAAUAUAGAAUCAAUAUAAAGCUUAUGAUUCAAACGUAGUGACGCCUCAGCAAAGCUUGAUAAAGAACUUCCACUGUAGAGGUGAGCUAGGGUUUACAAUACUAUGAUGAGAAUAAUAAAAGCAUUAAAAACAAAGGAUGCAUGCAUGCACCUUAAACACUAGAACGCUAGAAUAGAAUAAUGCAUGGUUGGACAGGCCCAAACCGGUUAAAAAACUAGGCUAAAAGAAACGAGAAAAAGACGCAACAAUAUGAUCCCAACAAUUUGAAAACUUGAGUCACAUGCGAUUCUAAUCCUUUUCACACAAUGCUAAAAAAUUUUGAAAAGUUAGAAUAACUUAAUAUUAUAGCAUAUUUAAUCGAAUAUUAUAACAUAUGUAAUCGAUCCUAUAUGCAAAGUUUAUGGGAGUCGAUUCUUUAUUUCUUACAUAAAUACUUCAUAUUUGUUCAAUUCCUUGCUAUAAUAUUUAUAUAUAUAUAUAUAUAUAUAUAUAUAUAUCAACUCUAAUAUGUUGGAGAAUUUCAACAUGAUAUUCAUAUGUGUUUUUGACCAAGUUCUAAACCUUUAGACUCAAAACGAAGUAUUAGUUCACUCUCCAUUAAGUCCAUUAUAGCAAAACAAUUUCUAAACUUUACAAUUUUCUAAAACAGAAGCAUUAUUCCCUACGAACAAUACUAUCAACAUGUAAUUCCAGCAUAACAGUCAUGCCCCCACUAGCUUAGAUACGUAUAUUGAAAUCAUCCAGACUUCUAGAAAUCAAUACCUUUUGACUUUCUCAAGGAAGGGCUGAUUUAUGUUAUGCAAUGCUUCGAUAAAUCUCCAAUUAGACUUCUUAAGCUUAUACACCUUAGUUGGAUAAUAUGUGUGUGUGUGUGUAUUUAAUCCCUUAAAUACUAUUAGAUAUAUCUCUUGAAAGUUCAAAGAAUUCCUUCCCAUUCCUCAUAAUUUGAAUUAUAAAGAGGGAUGCCAUAAUCAUAUUAUGAAUCUGAGAAUUCAAUUAACAAAACCAAUAUCCAAAUUGAUCUUUCUCAGAACUUUAAAUCUAUCAGCAAAAGUAUUUCCUCAUAAACUUAUUCAUGAAUUAGAACGAAACCUUUUCCACUUAGACUUUAAGGUGUAUAUGUUCCUAUCCAUGUGAAACUAUCAUUUCCAACCUAUAAUCAUAAUAUAUGGUUUAGGAAAAACCAAAUUCAAAUUCAAUUAUCCUUCAUGGACUGAACUUUUCUAUUUUUUAAUUUCUUGCCUUAUGGUAGCUCAAGGGCCUACCAAUGCUUGCUUGUUGUUAGUAGCUCACCCAUAUUGAUCAGUAUACAUUAAUUGGACAACAUGUUACGAUUUUGCAGUUAAAAGAAGAACAUAGAACUCAUAAGCAUUUCCAACUCAAAUGGAACUGCACACAAAUAAGAAUAUUUCAAAUAAACACAACAUGUUAUCAACCUUAGGUCGGGUGCUAGUGAUAACUAAAAGGAUCACUAUCGGUUGACUCUUUUAAGAUCUCGAUCAACACGACUCCCAAUGACUUCUUAACAUAAAAGUUUUGUAUUUCAAGGAACAUUCCUUCACGAACUAUAACAAAUAUGCAAAAGUUUGUUUGGAUUCUCGACAAGAAAACAAUUGAUAAAAUAAGACUCAGUUUAUCUUUUGUUACUCGAUCAAAAAAAUUAGAGCUCUAAUUCUAAAUGUGCUAGAGUAAGAAAACGUUAUUACUCCACAUGUUACAAGGUGUUAUCAACCUUCUUAGUUUGAAAUGAGUUUCUAAAUAUGAUUCAUAGUUACUUCAGCAUGGCCUUAAAACAAGAUUACACAAAGUAUCACUCAUAUAUGAUCGAACCAUCUCCAACAACAUUCGAUUCGUCUUCUUAGUUAUAAAAUUGCACUACGAUGUUCUUUGAGGACUAAAAUUGUGAUAUAAUUCCAUAAUUACUAGAAUUAUCUUAAAACAUGACACUAAAGUACUCCCCUUUAUUUUUUAUACCGGAGGAUCAUUUUUCUUUUUUCCUAAUAGAUUCUUUCAUUCGUUCUGCUACUCAUGAAGUUUUCAAAAGCAUCAGAAUUAUGCUUAAAUUGGUAAAUGUAAUCAUAUAUAUUGAAGCAUCAGUAAAUCAUAUAAAAUACAGUUAUCAUCCUUUGUGAUGGAUUUGGAAAGUCUAUAUCAACAUGUACUAGAUCCAUUAGUCCUUCACUCGCCUCACGUAAAUACGUGAACAAUGAAUUAGUCAUAAUUUUCCACUAAACAAGAUUCUCAUGCAUCAUGCUAUUCGAAUUGUAUGAAUCUAAGUUGUUGUCCAAUUGAAACCUAGUGAUUAGAUUUGUUUUCAUUUGGUCAAUUAUGAUAGUACCACAAGCACACUCUAAAAGAAUCCAUAUCAACUAUUAAUAUUGCAAUUAUUAGAAACAUAACCAACACUUCACAAAUGUCAUUGCAAGGAAAUAUAAAUAAGACAAUUUCAUAAAGCAAAAAUUCAUUUUAUUGCUAAAAAGAAAAUUACAACUUGUCCCUACAAUGCAUAAAAUGAAAACUAUAUUUCUAGAAAUCUCUGAAGAGUAAUAGAAAUCCAUUAAAUUUAUCCUAGUUCCUUAGUAGUAGCUCCAAAUAGUGACCAACAAACCAUGCAACAAAAGUACAUUUUACAUGAUCAUAUUUAGCUAAAUUUGCUUAAGCUUCCUUCAAUCUUUUAGAUCCUUCAAUACCAUCACAUUAUGUAUUAAGAGUCUACGAAUAGGAACUGAAGGAGUUAGAUAAUGAAUGUACCUAAAAUAGAGUCACACAAAUUGACUUUACCAUCACAUUUCUAAUGUCCAUUCAGUUGGGAGUAUUAACAAAUGGAGUCAUUGGGGUGAACAUGUGGAAUGAUUUCCAAACGAGCCUUUCUCUUUACCAUAUGAUCAAAAGGUUUGAAGUUGACUGGUACCUUUUGAUUGGGAAGAGAAAUCUUUUCUAGAUCAUCGAUGUUACAAUUAUCAAUGUCUAUGGAUUUCUUGGAAAUAGAUCCUACGAGCAUUUAUGUUUCAAUUGUGUUGUUAAGAAUUUUUUCUAUAGAACCUAUCAAUGUUCGAGUCAGAUCAGUUAAGUUCACAUCAAUAUUCCUCAUAUGAAAGUUCUCAACAAAUUGAACAUGUGACUUUAGAAGCGAAAGAAGAACCAAAUCAUUGGCUUGCUCCAUCGGAAAUAUGACACCCAACCUUUCCGACUUGUGAAUGUACAAUUUCAUUUUCAGAACAUGCGCACACACAAAAUUUCCAUUUUCAUGUUUACAUGCCAAUAGGGAUUGAGUAGUUUCAUAUCUUUCAACUCGAGGAAAACAUGAAGCUGGGAGAGUCACAUGAGGAUGAGGUGGAAGAGUUGAAGAAAUAUGAUGUAUAGUUCUACAAUUUCCUAAUGAAGGAAAAACAACUUUACAUUGGCUUGAAAGUGGAAGACCAUCUCCAGAAUAUUGAGGAAAACCAUUUCCAUAAGAACAAGGAAGACCAUUUAUAUUUUCAUAAUAAAUCUAAUAUUUGGGAGAAAAAAGAAUUCAAGUUAGUUGAUUAUAAUCCUUAAUCAUUGUUUUGGUAAAAAACUGAUAAAUGGAUAUCAACCAAAUUGCAUGAGAGGCUGUGGGUUUGUAAGUGAAGUGAUUAAUGAAAUUAGCUCAAGAUUGCAUAAGUGAUUUACAAGGAAAGCCCUUGAUCAUUGAAAGGAUCUUCGACAUAAAACAUUGGGAGGUGAUAAUGGUCAUCUGCUUUAGUUGAUUUUAUUGAUUUGAACAUAUAAUUAUAGAUAUGAUAAUAAGAAUAUGAGUACAAAUUUUUAUGUACCUCUAAGUGUGUAAGGUGUACAAAGAUUACACCUGUUAUGUGUCAUUUACAAGUGUAUUUAUAGUCUAGGUUAAGUAACUAUAAGUCUGACAUUUCUGGGAUCCUACUGAGCUGGUAUUUACACGUGCUUUUACUUGGUAUUUCCAGGUAUUAUGCCUGAUUGGAACGUUUCUUCAUUCAGAAUGAGUCUCAUGUUGACCAUUUCUACAUACGUGAGAAAUAACACAAGAAAUAUUUCUGUGAAUCUUGUUAGAAGAUAAUAAUCCCGGUGUUCAGGAUCCUCAUGUAUGUUCGGGAUCCUAAGACUCCUUUAAGAUCCGAGAUCCUGGAUAGGAUUGAGGAUCAUGGCCCUAACAACUGCCCCCGAAUUAUACCUGCAAAACAUUUGAAUUAAUUUUAAGUAUUUAAAGUGUAUAAUUUAAUUAACUGGAAAUAAAGGAUCUGAAAUUCAAAAUCUAACAGAUAGAAUUGUAUUCGUUCAAAAGAUGUGAUUAUAUUGUCAAAUCUCUUCUCUAUCCUCUGUGAUCCACAUAAAUAGGGGUUAAUGAUUACCAAUCUUCAGUUACUUAUUUUAGCGCACUUUCAAGAGUGAUCGGUUAUCUUAAUGGUAAAUUCCAUGUUCCUUUCUACUCAUUUUUCUUGUUUGAUGAUCAUAGGUAAAAAAGGCACUCCCUUCUUGCUCGAGCAUCCUUACUCUUUCUAAUGAGGAUUUCCUCGAUGAAAAGAUCUUGUCGUAUGAGGGAACUUACUCUUUUUAUGAUAACGAAACUAAGUCCUUGAAUUCAAGCGGAGCUUCUCUUGCCAACGUCAUUUUCAAGCCUUUUGAUACUAAAGUCAAACCUGGCUUCAUCUUUCCUACUUGGGUUUGCUUCAAUCCAAACUAUACCUAUGAUCUGGAGGAUCUAGUUAUAGGUUGAUCAAUUGAAUCAAUCAAAGGAGCUACACAUGGGAUUAGUUGAGUUGGCUCAUUUUUAUGAUCUCCAAACUUUUGGGUCUUCUCGUUUCCUACUCAAAAUCAAAACAAACAAAUCACAUCUUAUUUUGAAAUUGAAACAACACAAUGAUUCUUAGAAAGAAAAAAUAUUUCUUUCUAAAAUGUGAAUCCAUCCUUGAAGGUGAUCUCCUUCCAAGAAAUUAGGUUAGAAAGGAUAUGACUUUAUUCUAUUUCGUUGAGGAUAUGAAACUCACACUUCCCUAUUUUAUUCGUUUUGAUGCAACUUUCAAUUUCGAGGACCCCUUCUUGAUGCUAAAGAUAUCAAGGAGAAGAUUGGCAGUUUCCUUGCUUUGCCCGAGACUGAUUGAUCCUUCAUGUUCAAACAACUUAGCUUUCAAGAGAGUACCUCAGCUACUGCCCCCAUAUCGAUAUGUAAAUAUUGUUUGUCUAUAUAUCUUUUAUUUUUCAUGUAGGAUAUUGAACUUAUUGAGUUCCUUUGUUAUGUUUAGGAUCCAAGGCUACACACUCUAGUAUUUGGGUCACCCUUGUUGACACUGAAUCAGCCAUGUUCGGUGGCCAACUUGUUGUCAAAAUGGAGAAGAUCUCAUAUUCUCUUCCUCCAAAGAGAACCUCGAUUGAUCUGACCGUCAAGACUCCAAGACCCCGAAAGAGGAAGUCGGCUGAGACCUUGGAUUUGGAGAGUCGUGGGUUGGACAAGGCACUGAGGAAGCUGAUCUCUUUCUCGCAAGCUGUAAGGAUCUUGGUGCUUUUUUUCUGUUUGAUUUCAAUUCAAUUAUUGUGUUACUUUAUAGGUUGUUGAUCAUUUUUCUUGAUCCACCAAAGAUCUGAAGGUGAAUCUUGACCAGGUGGAGCAUGCCUUGAAAGAGCAAGAUGGGAUCAACAAUGAGCUUCUAGAGAGGAUGGAGGAACUGAGUAAGGAGAAAGUUAAGAAGAGGAGGAGCAUCCGCUAGAGAUCAAGGAAUGUUGUUGGUUCCAUAUGCGAGGAAAAGAUCAAGGUGGAAGAGGAUAUGGAGAAUGCAGGAUCUUGGAACGUGGCCGGUUGGCAUGAAACCUAGGCUAACUUGAUUGGAAAGGUUGUAAAUGAUGGUCAAUAUCCUAUAGUGAAGAAGAGAAGAAAUAGAUAAACUAUGUCCCAGUUGGGGGUAAUCAAACUUCAAAUUAAGUUUGAUAAAAAUUAAAAAAAAUUUAAUUUUUGUUUUGAUAAAGAAUAAUUUUUUUUAUGGGUAGGAGGGUAACCCUUUUUAAUAUUGAUUCUUUGGUUUAUCUCUUUUCUUGUGUGGUUGAUUUUUUGUAUCAAUAGGGUUAAAACAAGUUUCUAAAAGGGUUCUUAAAUAAUUAGGAUCCUAAUGAGUUUAGAAUUUACAAAUACUUUUUAGGAUCCAAAAGAUCUAAAAUAUAAAGUUACUUGAUCAAUAUCAUGAAAUAAUCAUCNNNNNNNNNNNNNNNNNNNNNNAUAUAAAUAUAUAUAUAUAUUGUUUUAGGAACAACUUGGGGUGUACUAAACAUAUAAGAAAAGGAUAGAUGGAACCUAGAGAGAGCUUCUUUCUUAGAUUUCCAUUAGACUUUUAAUUGUCUCUUUUAACUUAUAUUUAGGAUUCCGAUCUUAUCAUCUUGAAGAGAUUUAUUUUGAGUAUGCUAUUGGGAGAUUGAUCCAAACUUUACAAUUCACUGGGAAAAGUCCCAACUCAGGUAAUAUUGGGAAAGAUCCCACAUAGGAAUUCAUGGGGGAAGGUCCCAGUUUAUAAUUUUAUUGGGAAGAAUCCCAACUUAAGAUAUCUUGGAGAAUAUCCCACUUAAGAAAUAAUGGGAAAGAUCCCAACCGAAGAAAUGUUGGAGAAGAUCCCAACUCAAGAAAUACUGGGGAAGAUCCCAACUUAAGAAAUCUUGGCGAAGAUCCCAACUUAAGAAAUACUAGAGAAACUUCCAACUGAAGAAAUAUUGGGGAUUAUCCAACUUUAGAUAAUACCUAUGGGAAAUUGCAACUUUAGAUAAUAAUUGCGGAAAAUCCGAAUUUCAGAUAAUAAGCAGGGAAAAUCCCAACUUCAGAUAUAGUUGGGGAAAAUCCCAACCUCAGAUAGUAAUUGGGGAAAAUCCUAACUUCAGAUAAUAACUGGGGAAAAUCCCAACUUCAGAUAAUAACUAGUGAAAAUCCCAAAUUCAGAUAAUAAAUGGGGAAAAUCCCAAGUUUAGAUAAUAACUGGGAAAAAUUCCAACAUUAGAUAAUGGUUGUCGAAAAUCCCAUUUCGUAAGAUAAAGUAAUAAUGUUAUAAACCAUAGAAAUUUACUGGGGAGGUUCCCAAUUUAUGAUAACACGAUAAUGUUAUAAAACAUAGAAAUUUACUUAAGGAUCUUAGCAUAUGUUCAGAAAUAAGGGUGUUGUCAAGUCACUAAAGCGUGAAAUGAUCCCCAUAUUCACAUCCCAUAGUUAGAUAUCAUGUGUCCGAGGGAGGUAUAUAAACCUAAACUCAUAAGAAAGUGGUCAUUAACUCUUUAAACCUUAGGAUCUUAACAUAUGUUCAUAAAUAAAAGGGUUUCCAAGUCACUAAUGCUUGAAAUGAUCCCCUUACUCACAUCACAUAGUAAGAUAUUGUGCGUCCAAGUGGGGUGUGGAAACAAAACCACGGAUGAAAGAGGUUAUUAACUCUUUAAACAAUAAAGGGAUUAAUUACCCGGAGUAAAGAUGAUCAAUCGCUAUUUGUAGUGGCUAGGAUCCUUGAGUUUCUCCAUGUUGCAAACGCUAUCUUGGGGUACGUGUUAACUUGGCUAACAUCCCUUUAAUGCUUAAGUCAAUAGUGUUCUUAGAAUAAAAAUAGACAACGAAAAGAAAUAAGGGCAAUGAGUAUAUCGAUACCUCGACUAAGUUGUGAUGAACUGUGACUAAAUUGACUUACAUAAUGUAUGCUUCAAGAUGUAUAAUUUUUCGGGAUCUUGGUAAUAUGCUUCCAUCUAGGGUAGCUAGUCAAUAUGCCCCCAUUCUUGCUUAUAAAUAAAUGAGAUAUUCACACUUCUGAGCAUGUAGGAAGGCAUAUUUCUUCAUGGUUGGAUGAUAGUAUCCUGUUCUUAAAACAUUAGAACACAAGGAUUUAUCCCCAAUAUGAUUUCAACAAUCCCCUUCAUAUUUUCCUUUUUACAACUUCUAUGGCUUCUUGGUCUUAGAUAUGCACAUCCUAUGGAUUUCUUUUAUAAUACUCCAUAUAUCAUUAACAAAGCGUGAGAUCCUCAUCUUGAAUGCUUUAUUGUUAUUCUCUUCUUUUGGGAUUGUACAAUUCUGGAGAUACUCUAUGAUGGAUCCUAAACAUCGAAAUCCUGGUAAGACGAUCGAGGAAUUGGGCCUCCGAUUGCUGCUAUGUUAGAUGUUUGAUCAUGGUCGUCGGGGUCAUCAGGUCUCUCGGGGGGAUCUUCUAUCGCAAGUAUCAUUAUGUGCGUUAUUGGGAUCCUGGUAUCUGGCGGGAUCCUAAGGGAAGACUCUAUGUUGGCUAAUGUGUAUGCCUCGAUAUUAUCUUCUCUAGGAACUUAAUCCAGACUAAAAGCUUCAAAUUCAGAGGCUAAUUUUUUAAAAAUUUUAAGGUAUGGUGCCAGCCCUUUCGCCUUUAACUGCAUAGAAUCUAUUAAAGUGGUUAGUUAUUAAUAACGAAUCGACAUAUACCUGAAGAUCCUUGAUCUGAGGAUCCUUGGCUAGUUGUAGCCUCAUGAUCAAUGCUUCAUUUUUCUAUUUUGCUGUUAUUUGAAUUUAAUUCACAACUAAUUUCUACGGGUAGGACGUGGUGAUUUUUGUUUGAUCCCUAGGUCAUUUCUCUUUUGGUUGAUGCUCCUUGUGUUAAGUGAGUUCAUUUUCCUUGAUCUUCUUCUUUUAGAAGUUAUCGAAUUUCUAGUUCUAUUUCUGGCAGUAGAUCAUCACUAAAGUCAGCCACAAAGUACACUAAUGCUUGUGACUUAUCACCGAACUUGGUUUAUACUUGAUAUCAUUAUUGCUUAGCUUCAUAAACCAUUUUUCCAUCCUUCCUGACAUCUCAUGUUUUCUCAUAACAUUCUUUGUAGGAUAGUUAGUUUGAAAAUGUAUAGUAUAAUGUAUUAGUUUUAAAGAAGUUAUAACUAGUGCAAGUAUUAGUUUUUCUACAUGAGAGUACCUGGUUUCUGGAUCCACUAGACUUUUACUUACAUAAUAAGUGGGAUGUUGAUCUCUCUUAAGAUCCUUAGCUAUGAAUCCACACACCAUGUUUGAGGAUACUGAAUUGUAUAGAAGAAGUGGUUCUCCAUCUAAAGGUUUUACCCAUAUGGAUGUCGAACUUAGGUAUCUUUUAAGUUCCUAGAAGUCAUCUUCAUGCUUCUUAGUCCACUCAAAUCUUUUGUUUUUCUUUAAGAUGUCGUGGAAAGUUUUACAUCUUUCUAAGGAUCUUACGAUGAAGCUAUCUAAGGCUACCACUCUUCUUGUUAGUCUUUGAAUAUCUUUUGUCGAGGAUGAGGAUCUUAGAUCAAUGGUUGCUUUGACUUUCUCAGGAAUCGCUUGAAUUCCUCUUUUGGUCACCAUAUACCCAAGGAACUUACCUGAUCUCAUUCAAAAGUCACACUUGGAGGGGUUCAACUACAUGUUAUAUUUGUCCAAUAUGUGGAAGGCUUCUUCAACAUCCUUGAGAUGAUCUUCAGCUUUCUUCGACUUGACCUCGAUGUCAUCAAUGUAGACUUCCAUGGUGUCCCCCAGUUUUUCUUUGAACACCCUAUUGACUAGCCAUUGAUAUAUUACACCUACACUUUAAGACCAAAUCGCACGAUAGUAUAACAAUACAUACACGUUGGCGUUAUGAAUGUUGUAUUCUAUGCUUCAGAUGGUUCCAUUUGGAUUUGUUGGAACCCUGUUGAUGAACCCAUGAAUGUUAGAAUUCAUGACCAGUUGUGGCAUCUAUCAUGGAGUCAAUAUGUGACAACCAUCAAAAUUCGAGACAGUUCUAGAUUUGAAUAAACUUGGUUACACAUAUAGGCAUGACACAUACUAGACUUGGUAACUGGAAACUAAGUUAUAAACUACUAGAAACUUGGAAACAAGUAGAAUCGAAGAAUAGUGUACUUCAAUUUCACAUUGGUAUGUGAAUUCUACAAAUACUUAACUUUAAUGACUAUCCAUAUUCGGGUCAUUCCUUAAAUUGAAGCUCUUUGCAAGAAUCAUGUAGGCACAUCAUGCACUUGACCUAGAAGUAUAAAUUAGAUCAACGUCUCAUAGAAACUUAAGUCAAUGUUAAAAACUCGGACUAGUAUACUUGAUUCCUCAAGUUCGCUUCAAUCUAGGAAUCACUACAUAGAAUGCCAAUAAACCGAUAAAAAUAAAUUACAAAUAUUAUUUCUAACUUGAAUAAGAGUUAGGAAAACCACAAAUAAUUUAAAAGUCUCAAAGAUUCAAUUUAUUUCGAUAUCCCAAGAUAUAGAAAAUUCCUCAAAACCUUAAAAGUCCUAAAAACUUAAAUUUAUGAAGUUUUAUAUUAAAAUCCCAUAAAUUUUUUUUAUAAAAACUAUAAUAUCAAAUAAAUAUAUUAAAAUGUGGAAAUAUAAUCAAAGACAUUAAUUUAAUUUAUUAAGAUUAACUUCACGUUUAUAAGCUAAAAAUCCAAGAAUUAUGAACAAAAUUUAUAUAAAAUUCACAUUUUAUACAAAUUGAAAGAAAUUAUAUAAAAAUUUAGGGAUUUAUACAAAAUAAAUAAAUAAAAUAUGAUGAAAUCUCCUCAAACUCCCUCAAAUUCAGAAUCCCCCUCUCUCCCCUCAUUUCUCCUUCCUAAUACUAAUCAUUUUGAUCACCCAUUCACUCCACUUAUCUCUUUCUUUCUCAAAAAACUUCCCUCUUCAUUUCCUUAACAAAUGAUGAACCUAGAAGCAAUAUAAUUAGGAGAGAUUUUUAUAUUCAAUUCUUUAUGAAUUCAUAAGCAUACUUGUAUUUUGUUGCACGAUUUUGGUGCAGUAUAACCCAAAAGAGAUGACGAGAGAGGUGAGGUAUCCUGAGAGAUAUAAUCUCUUUUUUGUCUUUUCUUCUCUCUAAAACCCCCACUAUUUACCUCUAUGAAUUACCUCCAAAACCUACGAAAUUUCCAGCGAAUAUCCCUCAUUUUACUCAAGAAUAUUCAUCAUAUGAAGUCGAUCUUCAGGGUAAAAUCAAUUUCCUUUCAUUUUGUUCACUUUUCUUUCAAAAAUAUCAAGUUUUCUUGCAUUUUUCUUCUCCGUAAAAACUUUUCUUUGAGAUUAUUCACAUGUAUGUUCAUGCAUGUCGAAUUUGAAGAUAAUGGUGGUAGGAUUUCAUCCAAAAACAACAUGCAUGUUGUUAGAAGGUGAAAUCCAAUGAUCAAAACCUAAAUCAAAUCCAAUAAUUUAAGUUUCACAUGUUUUAAACAUCCAAAAUCCCAUACAUUCAAGUUUUUAAUUACAAACAUCAUUUUGAACAAAAUAAGUUCAUACAUGGUCUUCAAAUCAUAAUGCAAGUGAUGAACAUCAAGCUUAGAGGCUUGAUUAUCAAAGUACAUUGUUAAGAAUGCUUAUAAAUGCUUUAUUCAUAAAUAAAUACCUAAACUUCUUUUCUGUUCAAAUAUGAUAUAUUCCAGAAUCCAAACAUGAAAAUAACAUGAUCUGGAAAUUUUCAGAAAAUAAAUCAUUUUUCUCAAUUUAUUGUAAUGUUUUCAAAAAAAUAGAGCAAUAAUUCACAUAAAAUACAUAUUAUGAUCAAUAAAUUCUGGUAAAUUUUUAUAUGGCCUACGUACUGAUUAAAGAAGUUUCAUGAAGUUGCAUGCAUUUCUAUGAUUGUUUUCUAUGGAUUUCAAUUUUUUUUGAAGAGAAAUAAAUUGUAAGAUACAGUUACCAAUGUCCAAAACCAUAUUUCAUAUUUUUCACAUCUUCUAAACAUCAUAAAACCUCAUUGGAAAUUUUUUUCAGAUUUUUCCAAGAAAAUUUCUUAUUUUUCCCUAUUUAAUGAAUGCUUAAGGGAUUAAAAUGAUGAAAAAUAGCUACACUUAUCAAAAAAUUAUGAAACAUCAUCAGAGUAUCUUAUAUUAAAUAUAAAUGGUAAAUAAAAUGUUUAGUUAAUUUUACCUACUUUUUAAUAAAUUUUCACGAAUUAAUGCUUAUUUAUACGAAUAAAACAAUGAAAAAUAGUUAAACUAUUUGAAAACCAUAUUUGAUAUUAUUUCUAGGUUAUAUAUGUUAAAUAACAGUGGCACAAAACGUUUGGAGAAUUUUAUAAACUGUUUCCUAUUUAAUUUGAUUUUACUAUAAUAAAUAUACAAAAAUCAUAAAAUCGGGUUAAACUGUUUGAAAAUCACUUUGAGUAUUUUUCCCAAUUUAUAUACAUGGUAUAACAAUUUUACAAAAAGAUUGAGAAUUUUUAUUAACUCUUUAUUAUUUUUCACGACUUUAUGCUGUUUUCAAGGGAUUAAAUGGUGCAAAAAUGGUUAAACAUAUUUACAAAUCAUGAAAAAUUACAAGUGGGUUCUAAAUUUUAGUUACAACUGAAAUGUAAAGUUCGGAAAUGUUUAGAACUGAUUUUAUUUAGUUUUGGAUUUUUAGUUUGUAAAGCCCUUCCAAAAGUGCUAAAAUGUAUUACAAAAACAACACAAAAUUAGAUUUGUCACUUGCAAAUCUUAAUAAGUCAAUUGGUAUACAGAAAUCUGAAUUUUCAAAAAACUAUUUGCAAAUUAUACAAAACCAAACUUUGACACAAUAUCGACAUAAUUUUAUUGUAAUAUUAAAUAUACUAGUAUAAAAUUUCGAUUAGAGACUCGUUAGUGUGUAACAUCGUUGUAGGAAUCAAUAGUGAUACAAGUGGAAUGUAGUUCACAAAAUCAUUUGCAUCAUCUUAAUGUAUUGUGAGUAUUCACACAUCCACCUAUUUUCGAUUUUUAUGUUUUGGAGUGGAAAAGCAUGUUUGAAAAACUAUUUAUUGUUCGUUGUAUUUAAAUUGAUUUGUAUCAAACUUGAUUGCUAUAUUUUUCUAUGAAUGUCUAUACAACUUGAAACAUGUGGACUUAUCGUCUUAAGUCUCUUCCCUUCCUUUAAUCCAACAAUUAACUCUUUGAGCCGAUGGUCAUUAUGGAUAGCGCUAUUAAGAAUUGAAAACUCCUCACUCACCUGAUUGCUUGAGUGCAUGAUACCAUAUUCAUCUAUGGAACGAUAAGCAGAAAUCUUGAUAGGGCAUCAGUCAUAGGCUUGGUUGUGAACUCAUUAUUUACUCAUAUACAUACAAACUUGUUACUUAUUAUAGCAAUAAACUUUGUUUCUAAUUAUAACAAUAAACUUUUAUUAGUGGAGACUUAUUUACUUUCUUAGAAACGAACUUGUUUGCUCCUUGUAACAACGAACUCUUUUGCUCCUUGUAGCAACGAACUUGAUUGCUCAUUAUAGCAAUGAAACUUGUUUACUCGUUUUAGUAACGAACUUUAUUUCCCAUGAGAAUAUAGACGUUGCUUCUCAUUUGGGCAACAUACUUUAUCUCUCAUGAUGACAAUGAACUUUGUCUAUGCAAACUUAUUUACUCAUUUGUGCGAUAUAUUUUUAUUUAUGGAAUCUUAUAUCAAAAUUUUGAUUCUGAUUCAUGAAACCAAUAUUAUUUUUAAUUUGUGAACUCACAAACUAUUUCGGUAGUUGCCGCUCAUUUUACAUGCUUUUUUAGGAACUUGUCUAUAAGAUGGCACUUAGGGAUACAUCUAUUUUAGGAGCAUUCGCAUGUUUUGUAUUUCUAUUAAAUUGUAAUUACUUUUAAAAGUUUUUCAAACCCAUUGUAAAUUUGUAAUGUUUUUUAAUACUAUGGUUGGUGUUGUCUUUAGCUUUUGUUAUGAAACCCUUUAUACUGCCAGGACUCGUAUUUUUGCUUUAGCGGGGUGUGAAACUAUAUCUGGCAAAGGGAAAGGAUCCUUGGGACAAACCUUAUUGAGAUAUGUAACACAUACUCUCCAUUUUCCAUUCUUCUUUAGUACUACGACCAGGUUGGCUAGCCAUCUUGGUAACUUCACUUCCUUGAUCACUCCUAUUUUAAGAAGUUUUUAUACUUCUUGUAUGAUUUGGUUGAAGGGUUUUGAGCACUCAAACAACCUUAUGCUGCACAUGCAACCCCAGAUGCUUUGGAUCUAAAUUUUCUCUAAUUAUACAUGCAAUUACAUUUUCCAAAGCAUACAUCCUAACUAGCAUACAAUUUGACAAUUGAACAAUAUAACUAGUUAGAUAACUUACCUCUUAGUUUGACUUGUAGUUCUUGGCCUUCAAAAGCUUUAGCACCUAAAAUGUGAUGCCUCUAAUGUGUCAAAAACACCAAGUGCAAAAGGAGGCUUAAGAGAAUAAGUUAUUUAGCACAAAAUUGGUUCUCACUCACUAAAAAUGUAUUGGGAACCGAUUUUAGCCCUAGGGGAUACCUUUUAUAGUGUGAAAAAUGCUAGGGUUACAUCCAUGCAAACCCUAAUGUACAAUGACCCUUCAUAUUACUUAGGCUCCAUGGGUUAAACCUCCCUGGACUAUCAUAUUGGUUUAGCCCAUCCUAAUUAACCAUGGAUCAUUGGCCUACAAUAUAAGAAUCAUUGAUUUACUUAAUUAGUCCUCGUAUAUUUAAUUAGUCUCUUUUGAUCACUAAAUUAAUUCAAAAUUAAAUCUUGAUGAAUACUAGUUAAAUAAUAUGAUUUCAUAUUAAUAUAUUAUACUUGUAAUAUAUUAUUUAAUCAAAAUAACCUUAUUCUCAAAGUUCAUCCUAUCAAAUUGCAUCGGUGAAUGCAAUCAAAAAGGACCAUGCUACUCUCGGGUCAAGUGUACAUAACAAUUAUAGUCAUGGUCUUAGACACCUAAUCCAACAGUCUCCCACUUGGAUAAAUCUAAUAACUAUAACUGCAAGUACGACUUAACACAGUCAGUGAUGUAUCCUUUACAUAGUGGAUCAUAUAAUCCUCUGUUCAUCAAGAUAUCAUCCAGACAAAUACAUGGAACAAUGUCAUACUUAUUGUCCAACAGUUUGAUUCUCGAUUUCAGACUUGUUUGACAGAGAACUUAAUUGAACACAUCAGUUUAGUACCGACCGGGCCCGACACAUAAAUGAAAACAAAAUCAUUGAGGGGCAGAAGAUAUCACAUUUAAUCCUCCAAAAAUUAACAGGAACAUAUAAAUGUCUAGAUUAUAUUCUUGUACUAACUAUUCGUUAAUUCAUACACAACAGUGCGUUUUAAAACAUCAAGUUACCGAUGCGUUUUCACACUAUCAAUGUACAACUCAUAGCGAACAACUCAUAUAUCUUGGUGUGAAGACUUAUAUCAUAUUAUUUUCUCACAAUCACCCGUGAUAAAAUCCAUGAAGUGAUUCAAGUAAGCAUGAGUUUAAUCCAAUACUCAGACCUUAUCAUUAAUCAUGAAUGUUGUAGCAAUCUCUUGUUAUGUCUAAAACACUUCAGACAAUCUACAAGCCAAAUUCAUGAUAGUCUUCAGGCUCGAUCCUGGCGAUGGGCGACCUGGGCGACCGCCCAGGGCCCAUUAUCCUAUGGGGACCAAGAAAAUGAAGGUAUGUUAUAUGUACUUUUAAACAUUACAGAAUACAAGUGUUGCAUUAUGUGACAACCUGAAAUUUCCAUUCUGUAUAACAUAUCAAGUCAAUAGAAGUUAGAACAUUUGCAGUAAAUUUUCAGAAUUUUGGUAUAAGUUUGAGUAUUUCAGGAUUUACACUUGAAGAGAUAUGAGGAGAGAGGAUGCACUAGGGUAUUGUGCAACUUUGUUAUUCCAAAACUUGUUGAUAGUAGAUUUCACUGCAUGAAUAAAAUAUUUUCUGCCAAAAACCCCAGAAGUAUAUAUAUGAUUCUGAGCCAUAAUUAUUCAUUUGUUACAUUUCCAACUAGAGAAAAACCAAAUUCUCUCUCAAGGAUCUUCGGACUUUCAUCCCAAAACGUGAUUACUUCUAUCUAAGUGUGCUAUAAGGCUUGGUAUGUGCCUAAUACACUAGAAAUGAUAAGAAACCAACAAUAUUUAAGAGUUUACGUCCCAGGAACAUCUUGGACCGUAAACCCUUCUUUAAGGGGCAAAGAGUGCCCUAGUCCCUUCCUUGUGCAAUUAAACUAGUUAAACUUGUACCCUAAUGUGUUUAGGACUAGAAAACUCCCCUAGAAUACCAAGAGUAAGGUGUUCACAGCCCAAGAAGUUCUUGGACCGUGAACUCCAAACAAAAGGGCCAAAGUGUGCUUUAUACUCUCCUUAAGCCUUAGAAACUAGCCUAGAUUGAUUCCUAGUUAGUUAGGGGCUUGAAAACACCAAAAACACCCUUUCCAUGGGAGAUUACGGCCGUAAUCUCCAAGGGGUUUGGUCCCAGGGCCGUGAACUCCUCAAAGGCGUUAAAGGAUGCCCUAAUCUCUUCCAAAGACCUUGUCAUUAAGUAUAAAUGCUUCUUAGGGUCUUGUAAAUCCACAAAACAUCAAAAGAUCAAGUAAGUAUGAGCUUACGACUGUAAACCCAUGAGUUUACGACCGAAAACACAUUUGUUGGUGACAUUAGGGUCGUGAACUCCAUUAGGGAGUUUUUCGUGAACCCUAUACACACUAGCUUGUCCCUACAACACUUAGAUGCAAUCCUUCAGGCUUAAAACACUUGUUAAAGGUGUUUAAUAUGUCCUAGGGUGUCUUGAAAUUGUUUAUUAGUUAUUUAAAUACUAAUUUAAUACAUAUAUGUGAUAUUAUAUGUUAACUAGGAUCAUAGAAUGUGUUCAAGACUUCACUUGACACCUAGCAAUCCUACAUCUUCAGUUCAGCCGUAGCACUCACUACAGGUGAGUUUAUACCCCUUAAUCAAUGUUUUAAAUGUUUUUAAAUUUUUUAUGGGGGGGNAUACAAGUAGAAUCAUGUUAGUUAUUAUAUCAAUCACAUGUGAUUAAUAAGCAACAUUCAAAUGAUUUACUACUCAUUAGCUGUUUUACCAUGCAUCUUUCUUCAAAUGAUUUUCAUAAACAUUUUAUAUGUUUAAAUCUCUUCAUUAUACACUGUAUGUUUCAUUUCAAACUUAUAUACAAUUGUGUUGCAAACAAAUGUUUCUUUAUACUUAAAUUGUUUUAUCAAACCCAUGCUUUCAACCCGUUUUAUAGAUUGACAUCAAGUUGAUCUUUUCUUAAAUAUAAAUCAUGUUCAAAGGUUUUACAAAACUUAUUUUAUGCUUCUAUAUUGUCAAUUGCAUGCCUAUAUAUGUAUAGUUACAUAAGCAAUGUUUAAAAGACUUCGUAAGGCUAGCCGCCUUAUUUCCUUUUCACCGUUGAGAUGUGGUCUGGUGGGGUACCGGGUAUCCGUCCGAAUUUCGUUUAAAUAUUAGUUAUGUAUCAUGUGUACAUAUAUAGUCAUAAGGUUUCUUCUAGACAGUUCAAUACCCUUGGGUAGCAAGGGUACACUCCUAUGUUCAUACGUACCAGUUACAUUACUAGUAAGCUACCAUAUGGGUAGUUUAGGAAGAUACUAGAACUAUUACUAGAACGUAAUAUCAUACAAUGAGUUAGUUAAUUCUUGAGUCAAUACUUUCUAGAUAGAGAGGGAACACACAUUAUAGCUAGUACACACAGUACAUUACUAUACAUGCUAGACAGAGAGAGAACACACAUUACAGCAAGCAUACGCAGAAGAUUACAUUACAUUACUAUACAUGCUAGAUAGAGAGAGAACACACAUUACAUCUAGCACACACAGAAUACACAGUACAUUACUAUACUAUUUACAAAGAUAUGUUUACAUGAUGACGCUUACAUGAGUACGUUUACAUGAGUAUGUUUACAUAUACAAUGAUAGGACAGACAUCACUAGGUGCUAUAGCAUGGAACAAGUUCAGGAUCUAACUAUACCAAUGAAUCACAAUGCAUUGUGAUAGUUAUAUUGGGUAUACCUGAUCAUAGUAAUGUGGAUGCUCACGGCUUGAAAAUAUGCAGGGGUCGUGUAUGGGUCCCAAAAUCCCUUUGAUAGGGGAGCCUCUAGCCUGGGAUCUAGCCAUCACAUUAUGCCUUAUCACUCAAAUACGACAGUGUUAGUAUAGAAGUAGCCACUUAUUACAAAUACUACAGUACUUACAAGUUUACAAUAGACUUAAGGUAGUUAGUACGGUUGUAGUUAUUCGAUACUACACCAUAGUACUAUUUCCUUUUCCCAUUACAUUCACUUCGUGAACAUUCACACGAUGCAUGGUAAUGUAGAAGCUAUAUUUUGGAUAAUGAUUGUCGGAUUUGGGAAAAUACACACUCUUACAAGACACACACACAGAUACUAGAUGCCUUGGUAGAAGGAUACUUUUAGUAGGAAACAUAGGGUUUUCUAGACUGUUCAUACAAAUAGUUACAGUUCAUAUACAUACAAAUACUUACAGUUCAUACACAUACAAAUACUUACAUACAAAUUAAGACACUAAAAUACUUAUGAUCUCACCAGCUUUAAAGCUGAUAAUCUCUUUCAAAAUAACUUGUAUCCUCAGGUCAACCAUAGACAGGUACCGACGCAAGGUUCAGAGAAGAUGGUGCUCGUUCAAGACUCAUCUUUCAUUUUCAUUUAUCCUUUAGUGUCUAUCAUAAUUUGACAAAACACACUUGUAUUAAAAUUAUUAUAUUAUUAAUGCAAUGGAUGAUGUUGUUGCUUGUUUACUACUUUUCAUUGUUGUGAUAAUGUACACGACGUCCUCCACCCUAAAACGUUUCCGCCGUUCAUGGUUUUGGGGUGUGACAGAUUGGUAUCAGAGCAUUGUUUAUAGUGAAUUGAGUAUAUCAACCCAUAAAAGAUAUACAGACUAUAAAUACAAUGGGAUAAAAAUACUCUGACCAAUAGUUUAUACUUUAAAUGAUAAAAUAUUUAAUUAAGUAUACGUGCCUGCAUUCAUACUAAAAUUAGUGUCACUAGGACAGUACAAAAGAAUUACAAUUGUUGGGAAACACACGUGGACAUAGAGACAUAUAGUCAAAAAUGGGAAGAUAUAGCCUGAUCAAUUAUAUUAUCCGAGGGUUGACUAGCAUGUGCCUAAGUGUGGUUGUGUGGUUGCAACAAGUCUAAAAUCUUACCAACAAUACCACAAUGAGAACAGUAGAACAUAACAUUAAACUUAAAAUACUAUAGGAGUAUUUGGUGUUACUAUAAGUACUUUAUACUUGAGAACUAAAACGGGAUCUUCAUUACUAAGUUGAUAGUUGCUAAGUGGAUACAGUAAAGCUAUAUGUAAUUAGGAUGUUAUAGACUUAGAAUCUGUGAAAAUUUUACUUUACCCCUAUUCUGUGUGAAUUUGGAGUUAAGGUCACUUAUUCGAAGGCCUAUCCUGUUUCGAUUACAUAUAACUGGUAUGCACUUCACAAAUAGUGAUGUAACUAAUGAAGAUUUUCUAAAUAAUUAUCUAGAUAGUUCGUCUAAUACUUAUUUUCUUACCCCAAAUUCUCGCGUAGAUAAUAUGGCUGAACUCCAUCCCCACGGCAACCAGUACCUUCCGAACGAAGUCAUUGCUGGUUGGUUUGGAGAAGAACCAGAGAAUGAUCAACCUAUCCUUUUGAAUGAUCACCAUGAUGAAGACCAUUCGAACAGUGAUAAAUCCGAACCCGAGGUUGAGAACCUACCCCAGGCAGCUCCCGUUCUAAUUCCUAACCCUCGUCCGACUUUUGAUGGCCCGACACCUCCAUGGGUGGAAUGUUUGGAAACAUGGAGCCAAGGACAAUAUCAGCCCAUGCCAUUUAAUGGUGACCGAAGCUUUUAUGACCUGAUGUCACACCCCCAAACCUGAACAGCGGAAACGUUCGGGGGCGGAUGACUUCAUGUGGUAACGUAACAAAUGAAUACAUAGUAAAGAAAGCAAUACAACCAUCACAUAUAUAAUUGAAAGUUUACAUUUGUCAAAAGUUACAUGUUCAAAACCAAUUACAAUAUGAUGUCAAAAUAUGAGAUUAAACUGGCGCCGCAGCAUCCCUUCAUCAAAAGCAUAAUGAUACCUGAAAUUACUGAUUUCCUGGGACAUACAAGUAAUUUUGAAAGAGUAGAUCAGCAUUUAAGCUGGUGAGUUUCAUAAGUAUUUAAAUGACAAUGUUUGUAUGAAAUGAAAUGUUUUGUCCUUGUUUGUUUGUGUUUAGAAAAUCCUAUAUUUUCUACUAGUAUAAAAGUAGCCUUCUCUCAAGACCAAUGUUUGUUUCUAAAAUGUAUGUAAGUGUAAAAUAACCAAUGUGUUUGAAAACCUUGUAAAUCAAUGCAUUUUUAAUACCCCAUGUGAGUUUUAUAACCAUACUAUUGACUCGGAAUGCCUAUACACAACGUUCUUCAGGCGUUGGAAUGUUAUGACGUUUGUUACCCCAAACGGUGGACUGUAGCUAACAGUCAGGGCGCGGGUUGUCAAGCCCGUAUAGAUCUAUACACAAACACCAUGCUCCCCCUCCAAGGGAUUCUGGUAUAUAAUACAGGACUUGAAAUGUGUACUCGAACGUACGUGAAGUUUAUGUCUCACAAAACCGUGGUAUAAAAACAGAUUUACGUGUUAAAAUGUUCGUUUGUUCUUGUAUAUGAAAGUGACUUCUUGAAAAUCAUGUUUCUAGUAUGUAAAAGUUAGUAAUAUCCUCGCAAAACUAUACGUAUUAUAGUUUUCUAAAAGUGUGUCUCUUUUGUUUAGAAAUACCUAGAAAAGGAAUCACUUGUUAUGAAAGUAUAGAUUUUUGUAGAGCCUAAGAUAGGCAAGUAUACAUAAAGUCUAAGAAAAUGUUUAGUUUAUACAUGCAUAACAAAAAUUUAUAUUUCAAAAGGUAGAAUGCUAUUGUAACAUAUUUUAUAUACGAAAGAUUCCUAUAAAGUUUAUAAAUCACAAGUGAUUUGGAUAUAUAAAAGCAUAUAAAAUAAUUCUUUAUGUAACACACGAUAAUACUCGUGUGUUUUACUUGUAUUCCCCCCCUUGAAUGCAUAUAAAAACAUUUAGAAUAUCUUAAAAAGGUUAAUUAAGGGGUAUGAACUCACUUGAAAGUUUGAAGAUGUGACAACCCGAAAUUUCCAUUUGUACGAACAAUAUCUAUUCAAUAGAAGCCAGUCCAAUUUCAGUGAUUUUCAGACUUUUUCGAACAAGUUUGUGUGCAUUAGGGUUUACACUUCAGGAAAUAUCAGGAGAGUGGAUGCUCCUGGGUUUGUGAAAUUUGAACAUUUCAAGUUUCAUAAUGUUUCAGUCCAAGUUCGAGAAUAAAAGUAUUUUCUGUCAAAAUAUUUCAGGUCUAUAAAUAGUUUUCUGAAUUAAAUUAAUUCAUUAUUCACAAUUACAACUAGAGAAAAGCCAUUUUCUCUCUGACGGAUCUUCGGGUUUUUAUCCCAGAUUGUGAGUAACUCUAUCUAGUAGUGUUAGAAUACAUAUUAGAUGCUUAUAACAUGAUUUAGAUGGGUAAAUCAUUAGAUCUAGGAGUUUACUCCCCAAGGUCGGAUGGGGAGGGUCGGAUGGGGCGGGUCGGUAGCUUCGCAUAGGGGCGACGUGGACGGACCGAGACCAAGGCCCUCGGGUACGCUGGGCGUACGAGGUUACGCAGCGCGUAACUCGGAUGAGGAUGCUGACUCCUUCUUCGGAUAUUACCGGAUUUUUGAUUUAAAUAUAUAUAAAUUAUUUAAUAAACUUCAAAAAUUCAUAUCUCCUUCAUACGAACUCCGUUUUUGAUGGUCUUUAUAUCCACGUGAAGGUGAGACUACGCUCUACAACUUUCGUUUAGAUUCCGUUGGCAAAUUCCAAAAUUAUUUUUAUUAUUUAUUUAUAAAAUGACGUGAUUAAGGAAUUUCUUUAAAAAUUCAAAACUUCUUUAUGUGACCUUCGAUUCUCGUUUACGUCAUUCCGACCAAAAGUUGCUUGAUCUCCGAUUCGAGUUUUUAGUUGUCUGCUGCUAAGCCGAACUUGGAAAAAUCUUAACUUCAAUAUACAAAGUCGGAUUUCGGCGUUCUUUUUGCGUACGAUCAUGUUUUAAUGACAUUUAACAUAGUAGGUAGUUAAAUAGAAACUUCUUGGACAUUCUAUUAUCAAAGUUCAUUUCUUUAAUUCAAAAGUGGUUACAAUACUUGACUUUUUAGGUCAUUACAAAGAGUUGAAAUAUUGGGUUGUAACAUCAUCCCCCCGUUAGAGGGAAUUUCGUCCCGAAAUUUAAAGUAGUAAAGAUACUAGUGAACAUGAAAGAGAUGAGGGUACUUUUGUUUCAUCUGAUCUUCACGUUCCCAUAUGAAUUCAGGUCCCCGCUUGGCGUUCCAGCGAACCUUCACAAUGGGUAUGCGACUUUGUUUUGUUUGUUUGACCUCUCGGUCCAUCAUUUGUACUGGUUCUUCCACAAAGUUGAAGCUCUCGUUGAUCUCGAUCUCGUCGAGUGGAAUAACAAGAGUCUCAUCGGACAGACACUUUUUCAAGUUCAAGACGUGGAAGGUUGGAUGUAUGUUAAGCUUGUAAGCCACAGGGCCGAUUCUGGAAAGAAUCUCGAAAGGCCCAAUGUAUCUUGGAUUUAGUUUCCCACGCUUUGCAAAGCGUAUUAAACCCUUCCACGGUGAGACCUUUAAUAAAACGUGGUCUCCUACCUGGAAUUCCAAAGGUUUCCUCCUUUGGUCAGCGUAGCUUUUCUGUCGGUCUCUAGAGGCUUUCAAUCGCUCACGAAUCUGAACGAUCUUCUCUGUCGUUUCUCGUAUGAUUUCCGGACCGGUGAGAGUGCUUUCAGGAACUCUUCCUUUAUCUAACUGGGUAUCGCCAACUUUAGUCCGGCACAGAGGGGAUCUGCACUUUCGACCAUAGAGGGCUUCGGACGGAGCAGCCUUUAUGUUUGUAUGAUAACUAUUGUUGUAUGAAAAUUCUACAUGGGGUAAAUGGAUAUCCCAUGCCUUUCCAAAGUCAAUCACACAGGCUCUCAGCAUAUCUUCUAAAGUUUGUAUCGUUCUUUCACUUUGCCCGUCUGUUUGUGGGUGGUAGGCUGUACUCAUGUCUAGCCUAGUCCCCAGGGAACUUUGUAGUGACUGCCAGAAUCUUGAAGUGAAUCUACUAUCUCUAUCGGAGAUAAUGGAUAUCGGAACACCAUGCAGUCGCACUACUUCCCUUAAGUAAGUUCUUGUAAGCUUCUCCAUUUUGUCAGUCUCCUUGAUGGGUAGGAAAUGCGCGGAUUUGGUCAAUCUGUCGACAAUGACCCAUAUGGUAUCGAGUCCACUUGUCGUCUUGGGUAACUUGGUUAUGAAGUCCAUAGUAAUCCGCUCCCAUUUCCAUUCUGGUAUCUCUGGUUGUUGUAGUAAUCCUGACGGUUUCUGAUACUCGACCUUAACCUUAGCGCAAGUAAGACAUUUACUCACGAAGGUAGCAAUUUCUGCUUUCAUGUUAGGCCACCAGUACAGUUUCUUAAGAUCCAGAUACAUUUUAUCUGAACCCGGGUGAACGGAAUAUCUUGAGUUGUGAGCCUCGGUCAUGACUACGUUUCUGAAACCACCAUGAUUUGGGGUCCAGAUUCGGUCCAUGAGAUAGUAGGCUCCGCCACCCUUGACUUCUAAAUUCUUCUCCAUUCCUCGCAGGGAUUCACCCGCCACAUUUUCAGGUUGCAAAGCUUCCAUUUGUGCUUCCUUAAUUUGUGUGGAUAAGUGGGAAUGGAUAGUCAUGGUCAGAGAUUUGACCCUCCGACCAGUGUAUUCCUUUCGACUGAGGGCGUCGGCUACUACGUUGGCCUUGCCAGGAUGAUAACGAAUUUCGCAUUCGUAGUCAUUCAGUAACUCAACCCAUCGUCGUUGUCGCAUGUUGAGUUCCUUCUGAUCGAAAAUGUGUUGAAGGCUCUUGUGAUCGGUGAAAAUAGUACUCUUUGUUCCGUAUAAGUAGUGCCUCCAGAUCUUCAGAGCAAAUACCACUGCUCCUAACUCGAGAUCGUGUGUCGUAUAGUUCACUUCGUGUGUCUUAAGCUGUCGGGAGGCAUAAGCGAUAACCUUCCCUCUCUGCAUAAGAACACAACCAAGUCCUUGAUUUGAAGCAUCGCAAUACACUACGAAGUCUUCUAUCCCUUCGGGGAGGGAUAGUAUCGGUGCGGUGCACAAGGCCUGCUUUAGUGUCUGGAAUGCCUUCUCUUGUUUCGCUUCCCAGUCAAAGGCCACACCUUUCUGGGUUAAUGAAGUAAGAGGUUUCGCAAUGCUCGAAAAGUUCUUUAUGAAUCUGCGAUAGUAGCCAGCUAGACCUAGAAAUUGACGAAUUUCUGUAGGUGUCUUUGGUGCCGACCAGUUCUCAAUAGCCUUAAUUUUGGAGGGGUCCACGUGUAUACCUUUCUCGCUAACAACGUGACCUAAAAAUUCGACUCUUCGAAUCCAAAAUUCGCAUUUAGAGAACUUCGCAUAGAGUUUCUCCGUUCGCAGUGUUUCUAGGACUUUUCGUAGGUGUUGACUAUGCUCUUCCUCACUUCGAGAGUAGAUAAGUAUAUCAUCGAUAAAGACGAUGACGAACUGAUCCAAGUAAGGGCGGCAUACCCUAUUCAUUAGGUCCAUAAAUACUGCUGGUGCAUUGGUUAAUCCGAACGGCAUCACCACGAAUUCAUAGUGUCCAUAACGAGUUCGGAAGGCUGUCUUUGGAAUGUCCCCCUCUAGAACUCGUAAUUGGUGAUAUCCGGAUCGCAGGUCUAUUUUGGAGAAGUAGUUCGCCCCUUGAAGUUGAUCGAAUAGGUCGUCAAUACGGGGUAGAGGAUAGCGGUUCUUGACAGUAAGUUUGUUCAGCUCUCUGUAGUCGAUGCACAUACGGAACGAUCCGUCUUUCUUCUUUACAAACAAGACCGGUGCUCCCCAAGGUGAGAAACUUGGUCUUAUGAAUCCUUUGUGAAGGAGUUCAUUAAGUUGACUGGAAAGUUCCUGCAUCUCUGCUGGUGCAAGACGAUAAGGCGACUUCGCUACUGGGGUAGCUCCUGGAAUUAAGUCGAUUCUGAACUCGACUUGGCGUUGCGGUGGUAAUCCUGGUAGUUCUUCUGGAAAGAUAUCGGGAAAGUCGCGUACUACCGAGAUGCUCUUGAUGUCCUUCAGUUCUUGACUUGUAUCAACGAUGUGCGCUAGGAAUGCUCGACAAUCCUUCCGCAAGCACUUUCGAGCUUGGAUGCACGAAAUGAUGCGAAGGUUUGUACUAGAUUUGUCGCCGUAGAUAACUAAUGUUUCGUUGUUAGGGAGAUUAAGACGGACUGCUUUCUCAAAGCACAUGAUGUCGGCGCGAAGAAGACUCAACCAAUCCAUGCCGACUAUGACAUCGAAACUUUUGAUUUGGACCGACAUGAGAUUGAUGGGAAAAGAAUGGCCAUCUAAAGUUAACGUACAACCCAUGUAUAUAUGCAGUUAGUGUUUUCGGUUUUUCCAUUGGCCAUCUCUACAGUGAAUGAUUUUUCCAACUUUCUAGGUUUAGGUUUAAGUAAAUGAAUAAAGUUUUGACUCACAAAGCUUCUCUCCGCUCCACUAUCGAAUAAUAUGCAUGCAUAUGAAUUAUCGAGAAGGAACGGACCAGCAACUACAAUUGGGUCAGCUACAGCUUCGUCGUGGCCUAUCGCCAAAACUCGUCCCACACCGCCGGUGCCUGCUGCCUUAGGGCAGUUCCUCUUGUAGUGGCCCACCUCGCCACAACCGUAGCAAGUCUGGCCUACACCCGCACUGGGAACUUGAGUGAUCGGCUUUGCGGGGUCCUUGCAGAAACGGGCUGUGUGUCCUUUCCUGUUGCAGUUGGCGCACUGCAUUUCCCGACAAGGUCCAUGGUGGUGGUAAGUGCAUUUGGUGCACUUUGGAAGGUUACCUACAUAAGGCUUUGUGGGGUAGGGAUUUGUAGGGACUGUAGUAGGUACAGUGGCAGCAUUCACUGAAACCAAUUGUUUCUUUGCGGAUUCUUGGGAAGACCCACCCUUCCCUUUACUCCAUACUCUCUUCCUGUUGUUGUUGUUGUUGUUGUUAUUGUUUCCUUUCUGUGGUUCUGGUGCAUAAACGGUUGAGUUCUGAUGACCUCCGUAGUCAAUCAGAGAUUGUGCCAGUUCCUUAGCACUUUCAAACGUGUCAGGUUUGAAAGCUAACAGGUUUGAUCGUAAUUGGGGCGUCAGUCCCCAGAUGUACCUUUCUAUUUUUUUGCUCUCGGGAGCAAUCAUAUCUGGGUAAAGGAUUUCCAGAUCGCAGAAUCGGUUGGUAUAAGUUGCGAUGUCGAUACCAACCAUUCCGAGAGUCCAUAGUUCGUGUUCGAGCUUUUGAAUCUCCCCGUGUCAGGUUUGAAAGCUAACAGGUUUGAUCGUAAUUGGGGCGUCAGUCCCCAGAUGUACCUUUCUAUUUUUUUGCUCUCGGGAGCAAUCAUAUCUGGGUAAAGGAUUUCCAGAUCGCAGAAUCGGUUGGUAUAAGUUGCGAUGUCGAUACCAACCAUUCCGAGAGUCCAUAGUUCGUGUUCGAGCUUUUGAAUCUCCCCCCGUGGGCAGUAUUCUUUCAUCAUCAUGGCUUUUAGGCUCUCCCAGCUUAUGGAGAUUGCCACUAUCAGGGUAAGUACUUUAACAUGGCCAUUCCGCCAAGUUAAAGCUCUAUCAAUAAGGGUUAAAGUUGCAAAUUUGACCUUGCUGUGCUCAGGACAGGAGCAGAUUUCAAAGACUGACUCUAUCCUUUCAAUCCACUAUCUCAGGGCUAACACACCACCAGAUCCAUAAAACAUCCGGGGCUUGGCGUUAGUAAAGUCCUUAUAGGUGCAUUCUCGGGGUGGUCCAUGACUCUCGCCAUGGUUGGAUGGGUGUGUGCCAGAUCCCGAGCCAUUAGUACUCGAGUUAUUGAUCUGUGACAUGGCAGCUGCUACCGCUGCGGUGACUGCUGCUUGGAACAUAACAUCAUCAAAUUGAGGUGGUGGAGGUGGUGGUGGUACAGGUGCUUCCCCACCGUUGUUUCGCCUUGGAUUCCUACGCGGAGGCAUCCUUCAACUAUAGGUUGAAAAGGUAAAGAUAAUAAUUCCAUAGAAUAGAGAAUUACUGUGUCUCAUGAACCAAAUUGCUAUAGUUCAACAACAGAUGCUAGUAUGAAACAAGUAUUUGGUUUCUCAAAGACUUUUCAAGACUGAAAGUAUGAAACAAGACUGAAAGUAUGAAACAAGUAUUUGGUUUCUCAAAGACUUUUCAAGGUUUGAACGAAAUACUCAACAUAGUAAUAAUAGUGUCACUUAUAUUAAUAUAAAAGUUGAUACAACGAUCAUGAAAAUUUGACCCCUAUAAGGGUCUCCGAUUAGAAAGUUCGAGAAAUUUAAAGACUUUUAGCCGAGGUCCUAAGCUAUAGCAAAAUUUGAGUCUUUGACAAGCACUACUUGCGACGUAGGUUGCGCUUGGAGCUUGACUCUGCAUCUGAUUGCUUCGACUCCAUUAGACGCCUAUCAAAAGCGGCUUGUUGUUCCCUUAGUUCAGCGAGGGCUGCAAUCAUUUGCGCUUGGAAUGCCUCGGUUUGGAGUUGAGCAUUGUCUUGUAUCUUGUCCAGCCUACGGAUGUCAGAAGUGUGAACCUGCACUUCCACGUUGACAUCCCGGAGUCGGCUAGCUUGAACUCCGGACUGAUAGGACUGAUUGGCUAGCUUACCCACCAUUACCGGGAGUGCCCGAUCAGCCGAACCUCCNNNNNNNNNNNNNNNNNNNNNNNNNNNNNNNNNNNNNNNNNNNNNNNNNNNNNNNNNNNNNNNNNNNNNNNNNNNNNNNNNNNNNNNNNNNNNNNNNNNNNNNNNNNNNNNNNNNNNNNNNNNNNNNNNNNNNNNNNNNNNNNNNNNNNNNNNNNNNNNNNNNNNNNNNNNNNNNNNNNNNNNNNNNNNNNNNNNNNNNNNNNNNNNNNNNNNNNNNNNNNNNNNNNNNNNNNNNNNNNNNNNNNNNNNNNNNNNNNNNNNNNNNNNNNNNNNNNNNNNNNNNNNNNNNNNNNNNNNNNNNNNNNNNNNNNNNNNNNNNNNNNNNNNNNNNNNNNNNNNNNNNNNNNNNNNNNNNNNNNNNNNNNNNNNNNNNNNNNNNNNNNNNNNNNNNNNNNNNNNNNNNNNNNNNNNNNNNNNNNNNNNNNNNNNNNNNNNNNNNNNNNNNNNNNNNNNNNNNNNNNNNNNNNNNNNNNNNNNNNNNNNNNNNNNNNNNNNNNNNNNNNNNNNNNNNNNNNNNNNNNNNNNNNNNNNNNNNNNNNNNNNNNNNNNNNNNNNNNNNNNNNNNNNNNNNNNNNNNNNNNNNNNNNNNNNNNNNNNNNNNNNNNNNNNNNNNNNNNNNNNNNNNNNNNNNNNNNNNNNNNNNNNNNNNNNNNNNNNNNNNNNNNNNNNNNNNNNNNNNNNNNNNNNNNNNNNNNNNNNNNNNNNNNNNNNNNNNNNNNNNNNNNNNNNNNNNNNNNNNNNNNNNNNNNNNNNNNNNNNNNNNNNNNNNNNNNNNNNNNNNNNNNNNNNNNNNNNNNNNNNNNNNNNNNNNNNNNNNNNNNNNNNNNNNNNNNNNNNNNNNNNNNNNNNNNNNNNNNNNNNNNNNNNNNNNNNNNNNNNNNNNNNNNNNNNNNNNNNNNNNNNNNNNNNNNNNNNNNNNNNNNNNNNNNNNNNNNNNNNNNNNNNNNNNNNNNNNNNNNNNNNNNNNNNNNNNNNNNNNNNNNNNNNNNNNNNNNNNNNNNNNNNNNNNNNNNNNNNNNNNNNNNNNNNNNNNNNNNNNNNNNNNNNNNNNNNNNNNNNNNNNNNNNNNNNNNNNNNNNNNNNNNNNNNNNNNNNNNNNNNNNNNNNNNNNNNNNNNNNNNNNNNNNNNNNNNNNNNNNNNNNNNNNNNNNNNNNNNNNNNNNNNNNNNNNNNNNNNNNNNNNNNNNNNNNNNNNNNNNNNNNNNNNNNNNNNNNNNNNNNNNNNNNNNNNNNNNNNNNNNNNNNNNNNNNNNNNNNNNNNNNNNNNNNNNNNNNNNNCCUGGGACAUACAAGUAAUUUUGAAAGAGUAGAUCAGCAUUUAAGCUGGUGAGUUUCAUAAGUAUUUAAAUGACAAUGUUUGUAUGAAAUGAAAUGUUUUGUCUUUGUUUGUUUGUGUUUAGAAAAUCCUAUAUUUUCUACUAGUAUAAAAGUAGCCUUCACUCAAGACCAAUGUUUGUUUCUGAAAAUGUAUGUAAGUGUAAAAUAACCAAUGUGUUUGAAAACCUUGUAAAUCAAUGCAUUUUUAAUACCCCAUGUGAGUUUUAUAACCAUACUAUUGACUCGGAAUGCCUAUACACAACGUUCUUCAGGCGUUGGAAUGUUAUGACGUUUGUUACCCCAAACGGUGGACUGUAGCUAACAGUCAGGGCGCGGGUUGUCAAGCCCGUAUAGAUCUAUACACAAACACCAUGCUCCCCCUCCAAGGGAUUCUGGUAUAUAAUACAGGACUUGAAAUGUGUACUCGAACGUACGUGAAGUUUAUGUCUCACAAAACCGUGGUAUAAAAACAGAUUUACGUGUUAAAAUGUUCGUUUGUUCUUGUAUAUGAAAGUGACUUCUUGAAAAUCAUGUUUCUAGUAUGUAAAAGUUAGCAAUAUCCUCGUAAAACUAUACCUAUUAUAGUUUUCUAAAAGUGUGUCUCUUUUGUUUAGAAAUACCUAGAAAAGGAAUCACUUGUUAUGAAAGUAUAGAUUUUUGUAGAGCCUAAGAUAGGAAAGUAUACAUAAAAUCUAAGAAAAUGUUUAGUUUAUACUUGCAUUACAACAAUUUAUAUUUCAAAAGGUAGAAUUCUAUUGUAACAUAUUUUAUAUACGAAAGUUUCCUAUAUGGUUUAUAAAUCACAAAUAAUUUGGAUAUAUAAAAGCAUAUAAAAUAAUUCUUUAUGUAACACACGAUAAUACUCGUGUGUUUUACUUGUAUUCCCCCCCUUGAAAGCAUAUAAAAACAUUUAGAAUAUCUUAAAAAGGUUAAUUAAGGGGUAUGAACUCACUUGAAAGCUUGAAGAUAGCGAGAUGGAAAACCGGGCAGAGGUUCGUCUUCGGAAACGGAUUUUUCUCGGGAUUCUCAGGAAUCUCGGGAGUAAAAUCGACCCUCGGGACUUGAGCAAAAAGACCAGAGCUUCGGGUUUGAACGGGCACGGAAAACGAGGCAAGAUUAUGAGAGAAAGGAGAGAAAUGAGCAAUUUUUCCGGAAACCCUCGCAUUCUAUUUAUAGGGGGUCUGAGAAGCCUCGGUACACGGGGCGUACGCUCGUACGCAGCGCGUACGCGUACGUCAUGCAUGAGCGAGUCCUCGACUGCCUCGGCUUCGGAUGGGACGGAUCGGAUGGG